UUUUUUUUUUUUUUUUUUGUCUUCGUUAAUUAAUAUCUCGCCAUCUCCGCCACACCAACUCUUCUGUAGUCUACCCCUUAAAGCCUCCCAACACCCCCCCACCCCCCCUCUUUUCCCCCACUCAAACUUGUAUAUAUAGUUACAUAUAUAUAAGUGUGGCCUUGGGUAAAUAAGAAGGUGUCUUUUUCUUGGAAAGUCUUCUUCUUCAUCAACUCUUUUUUCUGCACAUAUCCCUCAACAGUACUGCUCACACAUCACACACACACGCACACACACUGAACAUUAUGUGUGAUUAGACAGGCAUAUAUAUACAUAUAUAGCAGAAAAACGUUCCAAUUAUAUUGGAAUAAUGGGAUUUCUGAAAGAUGAAGGCGUGGUUUACAAGCCCGUUGACAGUGUUGAUCUUGGCCCUGACAGCAAGGAAGUUUAUCUCCGAGCCAAUGUUAAAGGUAUGCAUGAAACAUUGAAACCACUUACACUCCAUAAACUGUGUGUGUUUGUGUGUGUGCCCGUGAGUGUGUUGUGCUGUGUUUUUUUUUUUUAAUAAAAAAACUCUGUAUUUAUAAUGUUUUUGGGAUGUAAUUAUGACAAAUUAAAGAACUGAUGAAGGAUUUGGUAUCUGAUUGCUCUUGAUUGAUGAUAAAGAUUGAUCAAGAUAGAUGGAAUUGACUAGUAUGCAUGCACGUGCAUUGCAAAGGAUUGCAUUUUCUUUCCUUUAAUAUAAUAUGAAAUUAUGAACUGUGUGGUCUAAUGUGAAAAAUCCUAUAAAUGUUAGGGGCAAAUUUUUAUUUGUAAAAGUAUCUCUUUGAAAAUUUUCAAGUUUAUAAGGGACAAACUAGAAUUUUCCUCUUCCUGUCCUCCCUCCCUAACUUUUUCCGUGGUUUUGGCUGAUAAUGGGAUUAAUUAUCAAAAUUUCCACCUUACGUUGAAAUCUGUUCUAUUCUUUUUAUUUUUAUUUUUUUGAAAAAAGUCAGUUCUAUUUAUAUAAUUAUAUUGCUGAUAUAUAUGGUAAUCCCUCAAGCUAAUCAAGUGCUAGAAGCAAGUACAAUGUUGGGUGGUCCCUUUUUCCAGAGGAGGCUGGCGGCUCAAAUGAUGGAGCCUCAUGACCAAGUUACAACUGGAAAGGAAUUAGUUUACCAUUUUAUUUUUUGUCCAAAAUUUGCUGGUUUUUUUUCUAGGAAAAGAAAAAAGAGAAAACCCUUAAUUAAAACCAAGCCAUUGUGUAUCUCAAUCCCUUUUUUUUUUUUUGGCUUCAAAUUGUAACAUCAGAAUUUAGAAGAUGAACUUUGAAGGUGUAGAAUAGACUACCAUAGGGAUAUUCAGAUUUUGGUUAGGCCAAGAAUUGAUGUCCGAUUGAAAAGAAUACGUGUCAAUUUUGGCACGUUCUACAUUUUUCAAUACAAUGUCAAAAAGGCAUUUGGUAUUAUAAGUCAUUGACUAACAUUUUCAUACACUGUUUACAACAGCUAAUUUGUUUUGUUUAGUCUCCAAUUUGAAAUAAGAACUUAGUUUUUUUUUCUGUAUUUUUUUUGGGGAAAUAAGUUCUCAAUUAUUCAUCUGCAAUGUAAUCGAGUUCAAACUUCUUCUUCUUUUUUUUUUUUUUGUUUAAUUAAUUGUCACCUACUCUAAUAGCGUUCAAUUGACUCAAGUCUUUUUGCCAAAGGCCUUGUACCUUACUUCUGAUUGACUUUGUAUCAUUAUUGUGUAGCACCUCGAAUGGCUGGCUUUCUAGUUAAAGUUUUUGCUUGGCUCUUGGAGUCGAGAAUUUUUGGAGCUCUUAUGUUAUACAUCCUCAAGAAAAACAAUCUGAUUCAUAAGGUAUCACUUCUUUUCUUGAUUGGUUUUAGUAGCUAGCUCAAGUAUAUAAAAGUGUUAAUCUACUGACAAAAAAUAUUUUGUUGACUGACAAAAUAGUAAUUAAGUUGACUGAAUGGCUAAUCUUUCUGAAUCUCUCUUUGGAACUUCCUUCUAAGUUUUGUCAAGCAGAUUAUAUUAGACAAUUUCCAACAAUCUCAUUAAUAAAAUUCUUUAUUUUUUUAUCAAAUAAAAUUAAUUUUUACUGUGUUUUACAAUAAAUUAUGCCGGUCCUUAAAAUUUUAAAGUACAUUUUAACUCAUUAAUUCUUAACUUUAGAAGUCGGCCAAUUUACAGUGGACAGAAUAUCAUUUUGGUCCAUUAAAGUGGACAAAACCUGAAGUGAGAAAACUUUAAUUUAAAGAAAAGCAUAUCCAGAUACUUAAUAUUCUUUUUUUUUUCAUUAUAGUUAAUUACUUUGAAGGCUUUAUUGCACCUUCCCCCCCUAUAAUUAUGGGUGAGUUGCAGUUUACCCCGUUUGAGUCCGCGAAAUAUACAAACUACUCCUGAUGACUAAACGCUUCUAGACAUUUAACGGUCCAAAUGCUUCAUUAAUGUGUUGGACAAAUGUGUCUUUGCCUUAUUUGUUUUUCUAUUAAGUCUCACUUUCGUUUUCCUUUUCUCCUUUUUUCCUUUUUUUUAAACCUUUUUCCUCUUCAUUUUCUAAUGCCACUAAUGCCUUUUGUUUUGUCCUAAUAUGCAUAUAAUUUUUUGACUUGCUGUAGCUUACCCUCUCAUUCUUACUGUAGCUUGUGCCAUAUCUAUUUUGUAUACAUCACCAGCUUUUUUUCUUGUUGAAAACAUAAUUACUAAUUUAUUGGGAUGCAUUAAUUGUUAAUAAAAUAUAGAAAUUGCAUAAAGUAACUUUUCUAGUUUAUAAUAAAAAAAAUAAUUGAUUGGUCAUAACAUAGAAAUUUGAUAAAAUAUAGGGUUAACCACAAAAACUCCCCCUAAGGUAUACCACUUUUGCACUUUAACCCCUAACAUUAUUUUUUCUCACUUUAUGUCCUAAACCGUUAGUCAAUUCUAACAUUGUGUAAUGGUAAUGUCAAAAAGACAUUCAUACCCCUAACAGCUAACUAUGGUAAAUUUCCUUAAAGUAUAGUUUGUUUUGUGCUGUAUCCCAUAACAUCAUUUUUUUUUAUCAAUUUGUUUAUUUAUUAUAAAAAUCAUUAAUGAACUCCAAUAUUUGAUAACACCCAGACCUAAUAAUAAAAAAUAAAAAAGCAAAAAAAAUAAUAAAUAAUAAUAAUUUAUAUAUAUAUGGUUCUAGUUAAAUUUCAUUUCGUAAUUACACCUUUUUUUUAGAUUGAGGAGAAUAUCUUGCUAAUUUGAUUCAAUAGUGGGAAAAAGCAAACAAAAAAUAUUAUUAAAAAAUUAAUAUUUGAAAAAUAUUUUUAAAAAUCUAAAAAUGAUUGGAAUAUUGUCAGUUUCUCUUUAGAAAUGUGUAUAUAACUAAAAUUUUCUUUUAAUAGCUAUAGUUUUUUUUUAUAUAAAAGUAUACAUUUUUUUACUGAUAAUACUAAAAAAGAGAAACAUGGUUGAUUUGGAGUUCAAAAUUUUCAGAGUUUUUCCUUUAAUAUACCAUGCUUAGAUGCUAUUAAAAUUUAUUUGAAUUGCUAAAUUUUUCUAAAAAACUUUUUUAUCACAUGUAUGUUGAGUGGCUCAAAAUAUUAGAGUUAACUAAUGGUUUUAGAGAUGAAUAGACAAAUUGAAAGAAAAAUGAUAUUAGCGAAGAAAAUAUAAAAUAGCUAUACUUUAAAGGGGAUUUACUAUAAUUAACCCUUAGGGGUAUCAACAUCUUUUUGCAUUUCUGAUAUGCAAUGUUAGAGUUGACGAACGGUUUAGUAGAUAAAGUGAAAAAAAUAUAACGUUAGGGGAUAAGGUGCAAAACUGGUUAUACCUUAAGGGGGAGUUUUUAUAAUUAAUCCUAAAAUAUUUUUACUUCAUACGUAUAUUUAAUUUCUUCUACUUGUGAUAAUUAAAUAUUGUAACAAGAAAAAUAAAAAUAUACAUAAAUCAUGAAAAAGAAGAAAGAAAGAAGGAAAAAUAAGGAAAAAUUUCAAGUGAAAUAUACUACUGAAUAUUUAAUUUCUAUUUGUUUUAACAAUUAACCCAUAAUAGGAAUUACUUCUAUAAAUGGGCGUUACUCUUUCAUUUCUCAUGAUGAGUUAUCAUGAUUAACUAUUUUUCAGAUGAAAAUAAGAGCAUUUAAUUAAGUUUGAAAAGAAAAUCUUUAUAGGGAUAAAGAAGAAUGGAAGAAGAAAAAUGAAAGUAUUUGGUGCCACUAGGGUAAACUUGGUUAAGAAUUAAGUAUCAUAGGGUAUGAUUAUCUUUUCGCAAUCCCCGUACAAUGAAAAUAAAGUUACAUUUUUAUUUGUUGGUCAUCAUGGAUAAUAUGUAAUAUGUAAUUAAGCAUAUUCUGAAUGUUUUCUCUGCAAAAUCAAUACUGAUAGAUGCAUUGCAAAAUUCUCUUUAAUUUGGCCAACUUUUUUUUUUAUUAUUAUUUGGAAGCAAUCUAUUAGCUUAAGAAAGUAAGGUAAUUGUCAUUGCACUGGAAACUUUUAUUUGUGAAGGAUAUGUCAAGAAAGUGAAUAAUUAUUUGGGCAUUGUAAAACCAAAACUCUUGAUAUGUAUGGAUUAUACACUGAAAAGUGGAAAUACUAACUACACACAAGCUGUCUUAUUUGUUUAAGGCACAGUGAAAAUUCUUGGUUUUCUUGUCUUCUUUUGAAUACCCCAUUAUUUCGAAUAUAUUUGAUUUUACCUUAAAUACAUUCCAAUCAUCAGUUACUAUUUUAAGUUCAAUUUAUUUCACAUACAUCAUAGUUCAUCUCACAACAAUGCUACACAAUUAGUUUAAAAUAUUUUUCCAGAGAAUAUUGGAUCCAAACAAAUAUUAAAUCAUUUCGUAUUCUUUUCUCAUUGUUGGAGAUUUCACACCCCUUUCUUUUCUUUUGUAAGUUUGUCAAAAUAUCUUGCAUCACUUUAAACUUUUGAGUAGAAGCAUCAGUAAAUAUAGCCUUAUACUAAAAGACUUCUUGUUGCAUUGUGGUCCUUUUAGUUAGCUAACACAGGCCAGUAUUUUGCAGCUAGUUUCAUUUGCGGAGUUGCAAGAAUCACCUCUUUUUGUGCCAUUGCACCCUCAUGAAGGUUGGUACUUACAUGCAUUUUACUUUGCAUUGGAAUUAGUCCUUUAAGAUAGAAGAAAUGUAUAUGUCAAGAAAUACUGAAAGUGAUAUGCAAUGGUUCCAUUGCCCGUUAGUAUUUAGUCUGGUUUUGUUACUUUCGUGUCUAUCACAAGUGACAAAAUUAGGGGGAAUAAGGAGUAUGUAUACCUGUACACAUAGAAACCCUGAAAAGCUCUUUUUUGUAUCCUCUAAUCAUUCCAAUUUUCGUGGUCACAGUUAUUUGUUUGAAAGGAUGUGUACUUUUCACAUUAAACUGAAAGAAGCUGUAUGCUUGACUCUGAAUGCAAACUUUUCUGGCAGGGCAUGGUGAAGAAGAAAAAUGCACCAAGCCUGAUCAUCUUUCUCCUGUGGAACAAGUUCAAUUGGCUACUGAUUGUCUUCAAACUUCAGAGGAAAUGAAUAAAAUUAAUCCAAAACUUAGUUUUCAACGCUGGACAAUACUGGAUUAUUCAAGAAGAUAUAUGUCUCAAGAAGUAACUCCUGUCAUGGUAUUAUUGGAUCAUCCUUUUCACAACUGUCAAUAUGAAUUUCUUGUAUAGUCAGUCAGAAAAACAAAUCUCAAGUCCAUUUUCUCUGUCUCUAAUUUUACUCCAGCAUUCUUCUUAAUUGUCAUCAUGUAUAUAAUACUCAUCCGUUCAAUUCUAGGUAAUUCAUUGUUUCUUUCUUUCAGGUAGCAAAGAAGUUUAUAGCAGCUGUGAAUGAAUCAUCCAAGCCUUUACGACCUAUGUCAUUCUUUAUUGAUUUCAAUCCUGAAGAUAUAUUACAACAAGCUACCGAAUCAACUCAUCGGUAUGAACGAGGUAUGCAUUCUUGUCUGUAUUCGAAAGGUGAACAUGGUUUAUUGCCACAUAUUGCAAUGUCUUGAUGUCUUCAGAGUUUCAAGGAUUGCAGAUUUUUAUGCAGUAGGAAAAUUGACUGGCUGGAAUCCAGAAAAGAUGUUUCUGUCCAUUGUUAAUUAAUAUCAGGAUUAUAUCAAAGUUCUUGUACUGUAACUGUGUAGUUCAAUUUUUAUUUUCUUGACAAAAUUGUUCGCCUUUACAGAAAUUUCAGUUAUACAAGUAAGCACUGCCACAGACUUAUGCCCCGAAGUUUAAAAAUUAACAAUUUUGUUCUAAUCAAACUUUUUCUGUUUCAACACCUUAUGCUUUCACUGCAUUUUUGUUUUGGCAAUAAUUUUCAUCAUAGCAGAAGCCCCUUUGGAUGAGCAGCUAAAUAUAUAUUCUGAUUGAGUCUUUCACUAAUGAAAUCUGGUAUAACUGGUUAGAAUUGUCAGGCAAAUUUCCUUAUGAUACUAAUUUCAAACUACAAUAUCAUUUGGUGAUUAUACAGGUUAUCGGAUCCUUCAUUUCUGCAGAAAAAUUGAGCAUAAGAAGCUUUGUUACAUACUCUUACUGUUCAUGAUUUGUAAAACUGGUUCAUUGAUUUGAAUGUAUGAGUACUGAAACAAAGUCCUGUCUUUGAAUUUUUGGUAAAUUUUACCUUUUUAUUGCGAGUAACUUCUGUUUCAGGUGAGCCAAUAUCUGUUCUAGAUGGAGUUCUGAUUGCCAUUAAAGAUGAAAUAGAUUGUCUACCAUAUCCAACCACAGGUUUGUCUUGUCUCCGCAUCUGACUUUUAACCAUUAGAGAAAUGUUAUAAACUUUAUUCCUGAAAAUUAUGAUUGAAUGAGCAUUACUCAAGCUUUGAUUUCAUUGACAAAAUGGCCCUUAUAGGAGGUACAAAGUGGCUGCACAAAGUAAGACCGUGCAUUGAAGAUGCCUGCUGUGUUAAACGCCUAAGGUCAUGUGGUGCCAUUCUGGUCGGGAAAACAAACAUGCAUGAGCUUGGAGCUGGAACCAGUGGGAUAAAUCCUCAUUAUGGGUAAGUACAAAAUCCCAUAUUUCACUCAUUAUAGAAAUCUGGCUUUACUUGUUUUAGUUGUUACCUUGAAUCAAUAUUGAUUUUCUUGAUUGAUAAAAAUAGUCUUCCUUUUUUCCUUUUUGAAAUUAGGAAAUUUGCUGAUUUUGUAUGAUUGAUAUAGGACAACACGAAAUCCAUAUGACAGCAGCAGAAUUGCUGGUGGUUCUUCUAGUGGAUCUGCUGCUGUGGUAUGUGCAGGACUAUGCCCUGUUGCUCUUGGUGUUGAUGGAGGAGGUAAAACUUGAUCAUGUUCUACUUCUCUUUUUUCUUACUAAAAAUUACUAUAGGUAUCCACAAUUUUAACAAUCCAACUGCCUGAAAGAUUUGAAAUAAGACGCCAUUAGAUAUUAGCCAUGUCUAAUCAAAUUUAAGCAGCAACUAUCUACUCGGCUCUUACUAGUUUUUACGAUGCUAAGUUGUCCUACUUGUAGCUUGGCGCACUUCUUAAGAUAGAAAAUUUUGUAAAAAUGAAAGAUCCCAACAAAGGCAUGGUCAAUUUAAAACGUUGAAAGGGGAAAUAAAAAAUACAUAUUGGUUCUAAAUUACAGAGCCUGCUUCAGCUAAUACUACCUGUUCCACCCUAGACUUAUGUGUAAGCGCAAAGAAAAGCUAAAAAACCAAGUAAAGGUUUCCUGGGAAGAGUAGACAAUUGAUAUCAAGAAAAUGCAGUUGAUUAUGCCCCUCAAAAUGUGAACCAUCUUGAAUAUUCAAAAAUGGUGCUAUGUGGCUCUAAAGUAUUAACUCUUAAGAACCAAAUAUCCUAGCAAUAUGAUCAGCAUAGAAAAAAUGUUUGAAAUAAUUAAAACCAUCAACUAUUUCAUUAUUCCCAUGACAUUGUAAUAUCAAUAGAGACUUUACCAGUAUCAAGUCUAUAGCCUUGCGUUUCUGCCAAUAUUUAUUCAGAUGCCCAUGGUGCAAAUCUUAACUCACUUAUUUAAGCUGUAUCGACACUUUUAGAGUUGAUUUAUUGAAUCCUUUCCUCAAUUAGAUUCUCUCAGAUGUCACCCUUAGCAGUCCAGAUUGCUCCAUUGCAUUCUGCUUUUGAUGUUCUUAUCCUCUACUUUUAACACUGGAUAUUAUUUUACAGUCUCGUGAACCAGCAAACGUCAUGCUCUUUUGUUUGAAUAGAUCAUUUUCUUUGCUGUAUGGAAAAGAACCAGUAUAUAUAUGUAUUUCACACCAUAGAUAUUCUCUAUCUGUGUCAAAUGAGUUGCUAAGAAGGGAGACAUCAAAAUUCAAUGAAUUUGAUCCUAUGUUCUACCUUGCUUUAGCCACAUCUUGUAGUGAUUCAACUUUCAUAUCAUUCUAGAAAAUGUUACUGGUAUGGAGAUUAAUCAUUUCUUCUUUUGUUCCAGUUUUUGUGGGAACUGAAAUUUUAUGUCUUUCAUUCCAGUUGUAUACAGUUUAUUAUUACAUCAGUCUGUUUGUUUGUCAUCUGUCUUAGAAUGUUCUUCUUCUUUUUGAAAUUAAUGUAAGUUUUUGUGUCACUUUCUCUGCUUGAUUAGGAUCCGUACGAAUGCCGGCUGCUCUCUGCGGUGUUGUUGGUCUCAAGCCAACAUUUGGACGUGUACCACACUCGGGGUAUUUUCUAUUUAUCAUAUCUGUUGACCUCAUCAAUUUCUCAGAAAAUUUGGUUUCAUGAUAGUUGAUCCAAAAUGUGAUUUCAGUGUUCUCCCUCUGAACUGGACAGUUGGGAUGGUUGGGAUACUAACUGGUACAAUUGAAGAUGCACUUAUAGUGUUAGUAAUCUUAAUCUCCUCUUUCCAAGUCAGAUUACAUUCACUCCCAUGAACACUUUCUUUUUUUUUUUAAAUGACUUUGAAUGCCAAUUUACAAUUUCCAGGUAUGGAGCUAUCAGUGGCCCAAUAUCAUCAGAUCAAUCUGCUCAAGUAAUGGUAUGUGGAGAUAUUACUUCACAUUCAGACGCGGAGGUUAAGCUCUGCAUUGUUUUCUGAUUCGCAACAAGUUUGUUAAUUCAGCAAAACAAGUGACCAUUUGAUGGACAAUUUAGUCAGAUCAACUGAAUUUUGACCUUUUUGGUUCUUCUUUCUUUUGGAGAAUGUACCAGUCUAAAGUAUGUUUUCCAUUACUUAAGGCACCAGAGUGCAGAUCUGACAUCAAACUGGCAAAAUAUGGAGAGGUUUGUUUUCCACGAAUUUUAUUAACAGUAGAUCAAUUUUUUUUCUGUCUUAAGGUGGAUGUUACUUUUAUAAAUUAUCUUCCACAUCCAGAAGUCAUGAUUAAUUGCUUAUGUUAUUACUCAUGGUUUCUUGAUUUAGUGGUUCAAUGACUGCACUGAUGACAUAAGAGUCUGCUGUUCAAAUGCUUUGGCCAAAUUAUUUGAUGUCUAUGGUUGGAAGGUACUGAUAAUGCACUGCUCUUUACAUAAGUGUGAGUGUUUAUUAUGCUUGCAUAUAAAGGCGCUCAAUCUUUCAUACUCUACAUUAUCUUUCUUCCAAAGACUUCUACAAAUGAUUCCAAUGUAUCCCAUAUGAAAUCACAGAUGAAGAGUUGAUAUAUCAUAAAGCCGCUACUGUUUUCUUCAUAUUUGAUCAUAUUAAUUUCAGAGUUUAAAUGCUAGCUUCCUGACAUAUUCAAGCUUUCUUCUCUGCCAGACGAUAGAGGUUACCAUGCCAGAGAUAGAGGUGAUGCGUCUAGCACAUUACCUGACCAUUGGCUCUGAAUGUAGUACCUCAAUUGCUUGUCAUCUGGAAAAGUUGUACGUAUUUUCAAUUAUUAAUAUGCCAUUUGUAUCACUACUCAUUUGAUAUAAUGCUAAAUAUGCAAGGCUGACUUUUGGGAUCAAUCCUAUCAGGGAUAUGGCAGAAUUGGGAUGGGAUGCUAGGGUAGCACUUUCCGUCUAUGGUGCCUUCAACAGCAGGGAGUACUUGAACGCCCAGAUGAUUAGGUAAUCCAACCUUACUGUUUAAAUCUAAAUUGGAUGAUAACUGUUAUUCAUAUCAUCAAAAUUGUUUAAUAAUAGAUGAGCAUGUUACCAAAUUUUUUUAGACUCAUUGUGAAGAUUUAUGCUUCUUAAUCUAUCAAAAUCCUGAAAAGCCAAUAGGCAUGUUUUGUGUCAGCUUCCCUCCUACGGUAUCAAGGUCUUUAGUGGCUGCAAAAAUUCUUUCUUUAAGAGGUAUCAGACCUUGACUAGAAUGGAAUAUCCUAAUAGUUGUGGAAUUUUGAGCUUAUAAAACCUGUGGUAAUUUUUCUUUUAUCAUAGAUUUAGCCUGACUAUGAAAAAAGUAGGGGUUUAUCACUUUAAUGUUCAACCUGCCUGGUCAUACCUUAUGUCUCUAAGUUAAGAUAGAUUAAGAAGAUGAUGUUAUGAUAGUUUGACAAUAAAGAGAAAGGCUCCUUAUUAAGGUUGAAAAAAAUGUAUCUGCAGUACACUCAGAUAUUGAGGAUAAGCAGUUGAACUAACUUAAGCAAUCCCCUGUUGCUAGCUCUUCUUGUUUUGUUGGUGGUGUUGGUCCCGUGCUGGUUGAUAAAGCAAUUUGAAGCAUUGUGUAAAUUAUAGCAAGACUAUGUUCUAGUGAUUGUUUAGUUGAUCAAAUAAACAAGGUUAAAUUUUUUGAAUUAUAGAAAGCAAAUUUUGUUAACAUCAAAUAGAUCCUAGUAGUCAGAUUAUAUAAAGGUAACUGAAUGGAAGGAAGACUAGUUAUAAAAUCCAAAUCAGUCAUUCUCUUGGGGUGUGACUGACUGAUACUUGAAUAGCAUAUCAUAUGGAGCAUGAAACAGUUCAUAUUGUUUUAGCUUUUUUGGAAUAAUUUGAACUGUGGAUUUCAAACAAUAUUGCUUUUCCGGACAGAUUCAAUCAGGAAAACAAUUGGAACACACUCUGCAGUAUAUGUUAAAGCAAAUCACUCCAUUACUAUAGAUUUCAUAACUUAAGCCAAGAGAUAUAAAUUUAUAGAACUACUCUAUACAGGGUUUAUAUUGCAAGUAUGAAGAACUACUCUGACUUAAAAAAAUGUCAAGUACAAAGAUGUCUGUGGAUCAAAUGUCAGUUGGCAGCUAAGAGGAACUAUAUAUACAUUAUACAUUGUGGUGCAUCUUGAAUCAGCGAAGUGAAUAUUCUUCCCAGGAGUGCCAUUUAAGUUUCUCAGGGAAAGAGUGUAUUUAUUCUUGUCCGAUACAGUGGAAAGCAUUGAACCAUGCACUGGAAAUGCUAUGGUUAUGCCCACACAAGUUAUUUAUGUUCAUUCUAUGAAAGCAUUGUAUACCUCAUCUAGCUCAACUUGAUCACAACUCGUUGCCUGAAAAACCAAAGAAAUUAUGUCAACGCAGCAGUUCUCUGUUUGAAGUACAGCUCAGAUCAACUGCAUGUUGUUUUAUUUUUAUUUUUUCACAAAAUCAAUUCUAGAGUGAUGAAAUAUCAUUGAUGUCUUCUUCCAUAGAGGAACAUGAUUUCUUACGUGCUCUAAUAAUGUGGUUAUAAAGUGGCGUACAGUAAAUGUGGUAACUAGCCUUGCUGAAUGUAGAUUUGAAGGCUUGCCAUGAAUUUAUACUGUGAUCUUGUUCAGCAGCCUUGUGCAGUAAAAAAUCAUAAAUGCCUUUGCCUGUUCAUUGGGUGUAUUUGAUCCCUCCCUCUUCUUCUUUCACAUGCCAGCUAUCUUCAAGAUAAAAUCCCAUUUUUCUAUCUAGACUAAACCUUUUCAGUUUCUUGCGAACCAUGUGCUCCUGGAUAACUCUGUGGUACUAACGGCUUCCAUCUGUCAUUGUGCCCUAUUAGAGAUUGUCUUCAGAGAAGCACAAACACAUUAGACUACCAGACUGAUGAUUUAACAGUCUGGAAACUUCUGCCAUCUUUCAAAAUUGACUUUACGAAUGGAAUUGGUGGCAGAGUAACACCAUUAGGAUCCCGUUGCUAGGUAGGCAUUUCACAAAAUUUGACCGACAAGAUAUCAGACAAUAGGCUCUAUUUGUUGCAGAUAACAUGGUGCAGUGAAACUAUUGCCCACAAUCUUUGGAAAUUGUCGGAUGUAUAUUAUUUUUCCUUUUUGAAACAUGCUUACCCUAUAAAUCACAUUGGAAAGGAGGAAAUGGACACAUAGGAUUAAAGCAGAUAAUUGAAGUGUACUUGGAAAAAUCAUGGACUCUGACAAAUCCUCAACAUGUUGACACAGAUUUUGACCCUUUGUUCUUUUAGUUGUAAACUACGCUUUCCACAACAUUAUUCUUGGUUGAACCUAUAAAAUCCUUUUAAGGACUGCUUCUUGAGGAUUUCAGUUUGUUCCCACUUCCCAAUUCAGUCUUGUUCUUAAAACUAGUCUCUUUUAGGCUAUUUGCUCUUGCCCAUGCUCUUUCAUAACCAAGAGGUAUCCACUCCUGUCAAGGAGCUUCCCUUGUUCCUUCCUGGACUAGUGUUUCUUGUGGUACAUAAACAAGCUUGUCACUAGAUAAUGCUUUGUUAGACAGAUCAGGAAAUGUAGAGUCAAACCUCUAAUUGACAUAUUUAUUCACCUUAUAAAGCUUUAAUUUUCGGUGAACCUUGAAUUCAACUAAAAUGUAAGUCCCUUUACUGUACUUUAAUUUUUUCCCCAAUAGGAUUCGUCUAGUUCUUAGGACCUAUUCCUUCUUGUUUGCUGGAGUUUCAGAAUAAUUCAUCUGCCUUUCACCAUGUAGCAAGAGAUCUAUGUUUGUAACAUUUAGGCAAAAUUUUUGCUCAGGCUCCCAUGGGAAAAAAGCGGUAGCCCAUAAUAAUAGAUACUUGCGAGUGACUAUUUAAAGUAUUUGUACUGAAUUGUCUUUCACUAUCUACAGGAACCGGCAGCUGCAGUUUUACAUGAAAAUAUUUGCCAAGGCAGAUGUCAUAGUUACACCGACAACUGGGUACAUUUUUCAUUUGAAAAGAAGCUAUGCUCUUUUUUGUUUCUAAGCAGCUAAUUAUGCAGAUAUAAAAGAAGAAGUUUUUGUGCUAAAAUUCUUAUGACUUCCAUAUUAUCUAUGUACAUGUCCUUCAACAUCCAUUCAUCUGGCAGUGUAACAGCAUAUCCAAUAAAGGAUGAUGUUUUGAAGACUGGAGAGUUGGAUUACAUAAAUGGAGGUUUGAAGUGACUGACUUACACUUGAAUCCAAUUUCUUUGUUAUGUUUCGUUAUUUGAUCAUCCAUUUUGCAUUCUUACUACUGUAAUAGGCAUGAAUUGGCUAAUUUUCUAUCCAAAAAAGAAAAGGGGGCAGAAAUCUUAUCUUGGACUUUAUCAUUUCAGCCGCACUAGUUCGAUAUCAGAUAGCAGGGAACUUCUUGGGAUUGCCUGCAGUGACUGUUCCAGUAUGUAUUGAAAUGUUUUUUUUUGUGCCAUCAUUCCAAAUUCAUCAAUUCUUCUUUAUAGGCAUUUCAACAGAGUUUCUUUUGUAUAGGUUGGAUAUGAUAAAUCAGGACUGCCAAUUGGUCUUCAAUUUAUCGGGAAGCCAUGGUCCGAAUCUCUGUUAAUCCAUGUAGCCUUCGCAAUGCAAGUAAGAUUUCAUUCUUAUUUUGGUCUAGCAUAAUGUUGAUAAACAUUUUCAGCUAAGUUACUUGUGUAAAUCGCAGCUCUCUAUUUGACGUUUUAAAUUCUAUUCGUACUUUUCUUGUUCAACAACAGACAAUGAAUGGUUUUACUACCCCUUGAAUGUUCAUUUACUCUGAAGUUAUGCUCUUUGUAAUCAUGUGAGACUUUUAUUGGUUUUCAGGCACUAUGCAUAUCAGAUUACAGAAGGCCAGAAAUUUUCUAUGAUUUGCUAAGCAAGGAUUAAGUCAAUCUUGACAGAAUUCUACAUGUACUGGCCUUCUCAUUUCCAGGAGAUUAACGAAGUAUUACCAAGAUAAAAGCAGUAAAGGACAGGUUAAUUAGUAUCUAUCUCUUCUAGAGUAAAGGACAGAUAAAUCAAUGUUCUUUGGUAUGCCUGUGAUAUAUAUGCAUUUAUUGUGUCCUGUUUUUAUACAUUUCCAAGUCUUUUUCUUACAUGUAAUGCUACUUUUUGUCACUGUUUUGAAGUAUAUCUACCAAAUGUUUAUCUUAAAACUGGAUGGUAAUGCGUACUUUAUUGAAUAGAAAUGUGCACUUUAAUAAGCAGCAAUGUGCAUUAACCAAGUAGUGAUUAUAGGGGCUUCAUUUGUUAUAAAUUCAUAAUCUUAGAAUGUAUUAUAAGGUGGCUUAAAGGCAAUGAUUUUUAGAAGAAAUUAUUAAAUCACUAGCCAUUUGGAUUCAUAAAAUAAGAAUAAUAAUGGAGUGUCUGAAGCUAAAUAUGGAGUUCUAAUGUCAGUGGCUCAUUCUAAUUCACCUAUUUUCCUCAUUUCAAAUUCCUAAAACUUGUUAGUUUCAAAAACUCAUUUUCCCCAAAAAUCCCAAUUUCGAGGUUUACUUGAAGAUGCAUAAUGCUCAAGUUCAACAGCCUAAUUCCAGUGGGCGAUGAAAGACUUGUUCCUUAAAAAUUAUAAAUAGAGAAAAAGAAUUUUGAAUCAAAAUAGAAAAAAAGAAAGAACCCAAAUUAGAUACCCACUCACUUGUCUCACUUGUCUAGUGCUCACAUAUUGCCUAUGAGGGCAAUCAUAUUAGAGUUCUUGGUCGAAAUUUUGGAGAUUUCACCCCUAAGAAUAAUAUAUGCAAUGAGUUUUUUUUUUUUUGAUAAAAGCAAAUUUCAUUAAUAGAUUGCUAAAAAUCAUCCAACACGAUUUAAACAUGCUCUAAAAAAUACAGAUAUGCAAUUUUACAGAUACAAUAAAUCUAAAAAAUUAUCAACAGAUUUGAAAAAUACAAGAAAUUUCACAAUUGUCUUCUAAUAGAUAAAUCACUAUAGUUACCUUCUGUAUAUGUUGCAAUCGGCAGAUGUGUUAAUCAAUGGUUUUAAACCCUACUUAUAAUGAUGAGAUCUGUCAAAAUAAUAGACUCAGGAUCCAAAAAAAAAAUUCAGAUCUAACAACCAGAUUUGAAAUAAAUUUUGAUCUAACAAUAAAAUAAGAAAAAAAAUAAAACUCCAUAAGAAUCACUAAAAGAAUAGAAAAUUCUCGCUAGGAAUCAUAGGAGAUGCCGCGCCCCAUUUUUUAAAAUAAAAAUUAUGUGUUAUAAAAAAAUGAAUUUUUAAAAAAUGAAUUUUUUGAUUAGUUUUGAGUGUAUUGAAAAAAUGAGUUUUUGAAAAAUAAAAGAAAAGGAGGGCCUAAAAUGGGACUUAAAAGUGGGACGAUUUUGACCUAAAAUAAUAUUCUAAAAAGGGUCUUUAAAAAAAAAAAUAGGAGUUGCCACUUGGUAUUGAAUUUAGGUAUACCAAGUCACCCAAAAACAUGUUUUUUAAUAAAAAAAAAAUAAACAAGGCCCUUUUUAAAUGACUUCAGGUCUUCGAAAAAUAAGAGAAAAGAAUUCGAGAGUCACGGUUGAAGAAAGGGAAGGCAAAGAUUUGAUCUAAGGCAUCCUUUCAACCUAGCCAAACCCAGUUACGUGAUUUAGUCAAAAAAUUUCUUAAUCUAACCUAUAAAACUUAUCAUAUUUAGAUGUUACUACAUCGAUGCAAACCUAGACCUAAUGGAUAUCAGAAGGUCGAAAUAUCUCUUCAGAGUUUAAUUGAUACAAAUCACAUUGAUUGUGACGCCCAAAAUGAUCCUUAGAAGAGAUCACGAAUAUGCAAAGAUGAGACUCGAAAAAAGGAAGAAUAAUAAAUAUACAUGACCUAAAGGAGGAGAAUGCAACAUAACGGGUAUGGGGGGAUUAAGAUUUGUGACUUUAAUUUUUCUUUUUUAUAGAGAAGAUACGAGCGUGCUAAGGUUAAGAAACCAUACUCGUCCAUUUCCCAUAUUUGAAGGGUGACUCUCCUAAUUUAAUCAAACAAAUGUGCUAACCUACUUCUAUUUUCCUAAAUGGAAUGCAAGUCUAAAUGUUAUGUUUCACACAUAUAGGGAGAAUGGAGAUAAUAUAUAGAGGAAAUAUCAUGCAAGAUGAGAAGAGAUCCUAAAAAUGAGAAAUAUGUAUGAAAUGCGAUGAAUAUCAUGCAAAAAGUGUGAAUCUAGCGCGGAAACGGCCUAAAGGGUCUAGUAUUGGACUAUCCCAUUUUUACAAAUCUUCACUAGCGUUGAACUAGUAAGAAGUCUCGGAGAAAGGCCACAAUUGGCGUUGGAGUGGUGUGUUGAAGUCAUGCAUUUAUUAUAACUAAAUAAAUCAUAUCAAAUAUAAUCAAAACAAGUAAACACAUAAUGCAUGUAGAGCACAUAACACAUAAGCAUAAUUUCUAGAUGCAAAACCCUAAUGAAAGUGAGUAAACACAUAAGUACACAAGCAUGAAGCAUGCAAGCACCCAAGCAAAUAAAUGCAAAUAAGAGCGCCCUAACUACAAUCUAAGGGGGGAAUUCUAAAAAAUAAUAACCUAACUAUUACAUUCAUCUAACCAAAUACAUUUUUAACAAAAACUAAAAUCUAUCUAUUACAUAGGCUAGCUAAAUACAUGUCUUGAACACCUAUUUAUUACAACUUGGCAUUUUAAUGCCUCUCAGAUAAUGAUCAAAAUUAAAUAAAACAAAUGAAACUUAAAAAUGAAUAAGAAUGACUAAUUAAAAGAAAAAGCACUCAAAACAUGCAAUUACACAUAAAAAUACAUUGGAGCACAUAAAAGAGUUUAAAAUAAUAAAAGAGAUUACCUUCCUUAAAGUGGUGAUUAAAUGGGGUGAAAUUUAUCUUAUUUAUGCACCAACAAUCAACAAAAUAAUCAAGGCAUCAAUUUAAUUAUAAAACAAAUGGAAAUAAUCAUGAAAUUUACCAAUUAAAGCACUUGAAUGAAGUACAAUUAACAAUUAAAGAAGAAAAGUAACUUAUAUUUAAGAAAUCAAAACUGCUAGGGACCUAAUUGCAAAAUUUAAGAAAGUUUUUAGGGUUAAAUUAUAAUUAUUAAAAAUUAGAGUGUCAAAAUGAAAAAAAUAAAGUUUAAGGAACUAUUUGCAAAUAAGUUAGAGACCUAAUCAAAAGAAAUCGAAAGUUUUUAGGAUCAUAGUGUAAUUACUGAAAAGCCUAGGGACUGAUCACAAAUUUUGUUACCAGAUUACCUGAGCAAAUAGGCCUCUAGGCCAUGUCUCUUAUUUUUUGGGCCAAAACCUACCAAGCCCAUCGAAAAGUUCAAGGAAAAUGCACAGGCCAAUCCAUAAUCUUACCCAAACAAAACCAACAAAAAAGGAUGGGCUUUUACCCCCUAAGCCCAAGCCAAAAUCCAAAAAUGAACCAGACUUUUCUAUCAAAACCCAACCAAAUCAUUAAAUAAUUUACCAAAACCUAAUAAGAUAAUAAAUCAACUAAAACAAAUUAAGGUUUAAUUAUACCCCAAAUCACAGGAAUAACAUGCUUAGACAUGUACUUAAAAUAUGAAAAAGAGGAUUAAAACUCAAUAGAGACAAGAUUGGUUCAAUUACAGAAACAUUUGGACUAUUUUGUAAUUACUUAGAAGUCAGGGGUCAAAAUGCAGUUUAUAAAAGUUUCAUGCAAAUCAGAAUCGAAGCUUUCUUCAUUCCAUCUUCUGCAACUUCAGAAGCUUUCUGCAACUUUGCUUCUUCUUUCAACAAACACAACUAAUGCCCCCCAACCCAACAUCAAAAACUUGGUUUUGUCAAACAGAUCAUGCAACCAUGUUAUCGGCACUCAAUCUUACUUCGUUCAUGUCAAGAUUACACCAAAAUCAAAACCAGAAGAACACAUCAAAGAAGGGACAACAAGAACAACAGUAGCUAACUUUUGACAGGUUUAGUAAGGAUCUGAACUCGUGUGAAAGGAAAGGAACAAAUAAAUUUACCUCCUAACGUUCUAUGAUGCCAAAAUGAACGUGGAAUGGUCGAAGAAAAUGCCUCUGAAAGCGAGAUUUUGCACCACCCAACUCCUGCUGAUGAAGGUCCAAGAGCUGGUGACGGGCGGAAUGGAGCUGAAAUUUGGGGGUAGUGGAGAUGAUUUUUGGAGAAGUUUUCUAAACAAAAGUUACACUACUACAAGUUUAGAUAGUGUAGAUGACAAAAGAAUGCCUAAACGACUUAGAUUAGGGAUAGAAUUUUGGUAGAAAAUUCAACAGCUCUCCAACCCUGGCUCAAGUUCCUCAUCAUAAUUUUCUGCACUUUUUUUUUCUCUUUUCUCCCUCGAUUUUCUCUCUUUUCUUGCUGUUGUUUUCUUCGUCAGCCGCCUCCCUCUUUUCUCUUGUUGUUCUAGGGCUGCAUCUUAUCCUUUUUAUAGAGAAAUCCAACCUCCAAACCCUCAUCUCAAGGGUUGUCAUGAAACCCAUUUUUGUGGCAUUUUUGAGAGCCAUUUGAUCAAACUUCCAGGUGUCAAAACCCAAGAUUAGAUAUUUAGUACUUGCUUAAACGUGUAGGGCAACGAAAUUAGCAACAAAAAGGACCCAAAAAUUGCUCAAAAAUCUUUGGCCAGCUCUUGUACUGAAAAUUCUGGUUCUGGAGCUCGCGUGGGUGAAUGCUGAAUAUAUAUUACAAAAAAACUGACUUUCAUUGAUUUUUAUUUUCUUUUCUUUCUUUUCUCUUUUUUCUUUUCCUUUUCCUUUUUUUUUAUUUUUCUAAAGUGAUUUUUCUCAAGAAAUAGAAAAUAAAUAAAAAUUUAACUAAAAUGAACAAAAAUAGUAAUAAAAUGAAGAAAAUAAAAUAGUAAAAUUUUGGCGUCUACAAGAGAAAUAGAAAACUCUCGUUAAUAAAAUUUAGGAGAGACUAUUAGAAAAACAAAAUAAACGAAAUUCAUGGGAGGAAGACCAUGGUGUGAUCUCCCUACCUAGGGAAGACCUUUGUAAAGAGGAGAAGAAACAGAGAAAAGUUGGAGAAGAGGAGUGGUAAAUUAAGAGAAGAGGAAGAGUUGAAUAUCCUUAACAGUGAACUUUCGAAUAUUUGAGCACAUAAUUGACUUGGAAGUUGCACAUCUAUUGGCAUUUGAUCACAAAAAAAAAAGCCAAUUUCAAAACCAAAAAUAAGUUUUGCUACGUUGUCAAUGCAACUAAGUUGACUUAUUAGAAAAUUUAAGGAUUAAUUUUAAAAACCUCUCGCUUAAUCUGAGGUCUCUGACCUGCCUUGAAAAUUUGAAAAUAUUACCGAUCUCUCUUAUUUCUAGUUUUUUUUUUUUAUAAUAGUUCAAAUUAAGUUAGGAAAAGCAACAUUAAAAUUAUUUUGAGGAAUGAGAAGAUUGUUUAUUCCAAAAUUGCCCCUUUAGAUUUACACUAGGGUUGUAUUGGUACAAACCACACAAAUUUGGAUAUUGAUAAAAGGUAGAAAACAACGAUCAAACUUUUGUCAUACUCUGCAAUUUAUCAGGCAUCGAACUUAUAUAUUUCACUUGUGGGCCAUUAUUCCACAUUUUUCGUAAAAGCAAUUUAGUUAUACUGAGGUUAAAUUAUUGUUACUUUAUUAUUAAAGGGCCUAAACUGCUUUAGUCAAAACCCUUUCAUAAUAAUCCUAAGGCGUGAGGCUAGAAUAGUCAUUUUGCCACGGCCGAUAUAUGCAACGGGUUCCAAAUGCUGACAAUGGGAGGUAAUUAAUAUUUUCAGAACUUCAGAGAUGGUUAGUGACAUUUUAAAACUUUGGGGGAGUAUCCAAAAAAUUUAAUCAAUUAUGGAUCAUCUUGGUUUUCAUUCUUACUUCGUAAAUAUAUGUGCUUACAUUUUUUUUUUCCCUUUUGUGACCAUCAAGUUAGGAAUAAAUAUUUCACGAAUUGAAGUAUAUCUUCAUUAAUCUCAUACCAAGAUCCAAAUCUGAAUCAACUUAGACUUGAGAGGUAGUUCCUGAUAAAAAUUCUACUAAAAAAAUCCACAUUUGUGCAGCUUUAGCCCCAUUGUUCUCAAGGUCUCAAGAAAAUGAAAUCUCACAUGCCCGAGACGCUCUAGCAAUGUUGGAUAUUUGUUCGAUUGUCUUGCUCUAAGAAGCUUCCAUGUAGUGAUCACUCGCUUUACAUGUGUCCACGGAUUUCAGGGAUUGGUCAUUUCUUCAAGAAAUACUUGGUACAAGGCUCGAUGGGAUUGUGUUUUGUACAGUUCUGUCCGAUUGCUAUACAUGUGUAAAUUUUUGGUGUAUAAAUAUUAUAAUGUUGUAUAAAUAUAUGUCAAGUAUUUUAUUUUAUGUACAUCAUUUUUACUCUAAAUACAAUAAUGUAAUAUAAUUGUACAUCAAAUAAUAUAAAAGGUACAAUCUCGGACCCAACCACUCGAAACCCAACCACUCCGACAAUCUUUUUCCAAAUAGUUGAUCAUGUCAACUUCAACUUCCAGGCCUCUGAAAUUGUUCGAAGGAAAUUGAAAUGAGGCACGAUGAAAAGCAUUUGAGCAACAUUUUAGGUUCACUCCAGGUGCUGACCAAAUCUGAGUUUACAUUAGAUUCCCUACUGCUGCUGAUGCAUAAGGAAUCUUUUGUAUUUUCUUUUUUUUUUUAAAUAUUCUUAGGAUAUUGGUCAAGACUAAACUCAUCUCUUUCAGUCACAAGGGUGUCACCUGAUUUGUAACUUUAUAUGCCAUUUUUUUAAGAGUAUUUUUUAUUUAACCCUUUUGUGAUAGUUUCAAAACACGCCGAAAUCAAUCCCGGUGUGUCUGUAUGUCUAAAACAAAAAAUGCAUUACCAAAAUCUUUCAUUUUUAAUUAAAAAUCUCUCGAUUUCAUGCAAUAGUCCUAUAUCAUUGUUGGCAAGUAAAAUGUUAUCAACAUACAAUAUUACAAAAAUAUACUUAUUCCCAUAGAAUUUAUGAUAGAUAUAAUCAUCAACUAAAUUCGUCUCAAAAUCAAAUAAGAUGAUCACUUGAUGAAAUUUAUAAUACCAUUGUCAAGAUGCUUGCUUGAAACCAUAAAUAAAUUUUUUAAAUUUGUAAAUCAUAUUUUUUGGAUCUUCCAAUAUAAAUUUUUCUGAUUGCACCAUGUAGAUCGUCUCAUUAAUGUUACCAUUGAGAAACGCUGUCUUUAUAUCUAUCUGGUUUAACUCAAGAUUAAAAUACGUCACUAAUGCCAUAAUAAUUCUAAAAGUGUUCUUUGAAAAGAUCGGAGAGAAGAUUUCUUUAUAGUCGAUACCUUCCUUUUAUAUAAAACUCUUAGCGACACGACGAGUUUUGUAUCUUUGCACAUUAUUUUUCGAAUUUCUCUUGGUUCUGUUUGGAUUAGUUAUUUUUUGAGGUGUUUUUCAAAAACUUUACUGUAGUUGUGUAUAUGAAAAACUUUUACUGUAGUUAUUUUUUGGAUUGUUUUUAAAGAUAUUUUUAAAAUAUAUUUUUGACGGCCUGUUUGGAAGCUCAGUUUUUUCACAAGUUUGUAUGCUACUAGUUUUUUAACAACUUUUGCUACAGGAACCCAAAAAACUUAUCAAAAUUUUUAACCUACACACUUCAAAAUACCUAAAACUUACAAAAAAAAAAAAAAUUCCUUCCCAGCCUUUUUUUCUUCUUCUUCCUCCCCCAUCCCAACCCACCACCACCUCCAUCGCCAACCACCACCUUCGGCGCCGGAGUCUUUUUUUUUUUUUUUUGCCUUUCUCCCUCUCCUCCUCAUCCUCCCCCUUUACCCAGUUUGUAUGACCCCUUUUUUUCCCUCCCUCUCCCUUUCCCCAACUCCUCCCCCACCACCCUUCCCCUUCCCCUCUAGCCGAUCUAGAUCGCACCAGGGUCAUUUCUUUGCACCAGAUUGUGGGGAAGGGAGGGUGCCGGGGGAGGGGGAGGGGAAGGCUGAAAAUUGCAACAAAAAAAAAAAAAAAGUUUCUAAUGGGCCUUGAUUGCUGGGCAAGGGAAGAGGGAGGGGGAAGGACAGAGGGGAGGAGGGUAGGAGAUGGGGGAGAGAAAAUGCAAAAAAAAAAAAAAAAAAAAAAUUCUGCUACGGAUGGAGACAGUGGAACAACUUCAUACUGGCUGUGGUGCGUAGGGCAUUCUUUUCACGGCACUGUUUGCAAGGAAGGAGUGUGUGAAUGAGGUGUACCCGGGCCAACCAGGGACAGGGAGGCCAUACGGACUGCUGAUGGGCGGUGGUGGAAGGUUAAUGGCAGCUCAUCUUUGUGCAGAUUGUAGUGAUCACUGUUUGGGUGGGUAUUACCAUGGGAACGUUUGUUCUGGAUACUGGGCAAACUUGAUGCAGUUUUGGGAGAGGAACAGGGGAGAAAAGGGGGAAGGGGGAAGGGAAAGGGAGAAGAAGCGGGAAGGGAGGGAAGAAAAGAAAAAAAGAAAAAGAAAGAAAAAAAAUGAAAAGGCAAAAAAGUUUUUCUACAACUUCUACAGUGAUUUACAGUAAAAUUUUAGACAAACUUUCAAAAAACUCAGGUUCCAAACAGGGCCUAAGUAUUUUUAUAAUUUACAAGUUUUUUUGGAAUUUUUUAAAAAAUUUUUACACGACCUACCACUAUCUCCUCCCUUUUCCUCUCCCUCUCUCCUUUCUCUUCCUCUCCUCCACCCUCUAUUUCCUCCCCUUCCUCCUCCUCCCUCUUUCCUUUCCCUUCUCUCUUCUCCCCCCUCCCCUCCUUCCCCCCAACCCCAAACUCCUCUCCUGCUCGCAGGUUGUAACUGCAACUUUAGCCACCAUUCUAACCACAACCUUUUUGAUCGCGGCUUCUGGUUGCAAUCAAAUUUGAUUGUGACUAGGAAGGUUGCGGUCAGUUAAAGAGAAAGGGAAAGAAAAAAGGAGGAAGGAGAAGGAGAGAGAGGAGGAGGAGGAGAGAGGAAGGAAAGAUGGGCGGAGAGAGAGAGGAGAGAGAAGAGAGGGUCGUGGGUGUGGGGGUGGUGACGGUAAGGUGGUAGCCGUGGUGGUGGAGAGUGAUGGGUAGUUGUGUAUUUUUUUAUAUAUUUGGAGUUGUUUUUAAUAUAUUGUAUGGAUAUGGUAUUUUUGGAGUUAUUUUUAUUUGUGUAUUACUGUAGCGUUGUAGAUGAAAAAAUUAUUUUUUAAAAAAAUUUGAAUCCAAACAGAGCGUUUAGUUUUAAAUAUUCAUUUACAACCAAUGAAUUUCACUUCUUCUGGCAAUGGGACAAGAUCCCAAAUAUCAUUAUUUUUCAUGGAUUUAAUCUCUUCACUCAUGGUAUCGAUCCAUUUUUGAGAAUUUGAACUUUUUAUGAUUUGACGGAAGUUGAUUGGAUCAUCUUUCAUCAAUCUAGUAUCAUUCUCACGUUUUUGAAAAAAAUAAUGUAAUCAUCUGGCACUGCACUUUUUUUUUCUAGUGAAUUUUCUUAAUGACAUUGGUUCUUGAAGAGGAAAAAUUUGUUCUUUUAUAACAGUUUGUUAUUCGAUAUUAUCUUGAUUUAUUAUGUCAUGAUCAGGAAUGGGAUCCUGAACAAGAUCAAUGACACAUGUGAAAAUGUUGGCAUAUUCCUCUUCAACGACAAGGUUCCUUACUAUAUUUUCUCCCCCAAAUUCGAUAUUCUCAAAGAAUCGAGCAUUUUCUAUCUCAAAAAUUGAUUUAAUCGUGGGAUCAUAAAACUUGUAACUCCUGGAUCUUUCAGAAUAUCUAAUAAAAUAAUAACUAACGGUCCUUGAAUCCAAUUUCUUUUUAUUUGGCCUAUAAGGUCUUACCUCAAGUGGACAUUUGCAAAUAUGUAAAUCUUUCAAACUGAACUUUUUUCCUGUCCAAAAUUCAUAAAGAAUUUUGUUAGUUGCUUUAGUUGAAAGUCUAUUAAAAAUAUAUGCUGCAGUCUUAAAUGCUUCUCCUCAGAAUGAUUCUGGUAAGGUAGAAUGACAUAUCAUACUCCUUACCAUGUUACAACUGCACAAUUUUGUCUAUUUCGUCUAUUUCUAAGCGUUCUAUUUCGUCUUUUAACUGGACAAUUUAUAAUGGGUGAACCCAGUAUGGUAUACUGUAGGAUGAUAUCGUAUUUCUCUAAAUAUUUAGCAAAUGGCCCUGGACAUUGCUCACCUGAAUCGUCAUAUCUGUCAUAGUACUCACCACCACGGUCAGAUCUGAUACUUUUGAUUCUUUUGUUAAGUUGGUUUUCAACUUCAGAUUUGAAAAUUUUAAAAACGUCCAGCGACUGCAAUUUUUCAACAACGAGAUAUAUAUAGUCAUAUCUUAAAGAAUCGUUUAUGAACGUUAUAAAAUAUUAUUGAUCAUUCUAAACAAAUGUAGAAAAUGAUCCACAAAUAUCUGUAUAUAUAAGUUUUAAGACGACCAAUAACCUAUUGGUUUCAAAUCUCCUUUUAUUGGUUUGUUUCUCCUUUAUACAGUUAGCACAAUCAUCAAAAUCUGUAAAAUUCAGGGGGUCGAGAAUUUCAUUUCACACAAAUCUUUUCAUUCUCCAUUUGGAUAUAUGACCCAAUCUCUUGUACCAUAAUGCAGUCGAAUUCUCAUUGAUUAAUUUUUUCCUUUACUCCUCUAAUACUCAAAUUUAGAGAUUCAUUAAAUGAAACAAUUGUAUCAAUUAAAUAUAGAUUAUUAUAGUGCGUGUCAUGCCCCAUUUUUUAAAAUAAAAUUUGAUGUGUUAAAAAAAUGGAUUUUGAUUAAUUUUUUAUUUUUGAAAAAUAUAAUUAUGGUGUUAAAAAAUGUAUUUAUUGAUUUUAUAAAUAGAAACAAUGAGUUUUUUAUUUCAUAAAAUAAAUAAAGAAAAAGAACCUAAAAUGAGACUUAAAAAGUGCGACGAUUUGGUCCCAAAUUAAUAGUCUAAAAAGAAUUUUUAAGAAAAAAUAGGAGUCGCCACUUGAUAUCGAGUUUAGGUGUACUAAAUCACUUAAAAAUGUAUUUUUGAUAAAAAAAAAAAGAUAAAAUCCUUUUUAGAUGACUCCAAGUUUUUGAAAAUAAGAUAAAAGAAUUCAAGGGUUAUGGUUGAAAAAAGGGAAUGCAAAGAUUUGAUAGAAUCAAAUCUAAAGCACCGUUUCAACCUAACCAAGGCUAGAGGUGAGAGUUAGUAAAAAAUUUUCUUGAUCUAACCUAUAAAACUUAUCACAUUUGGAUAUUUCUACAUAGAUACAAAUCUAGAUCUAAAGGAUAUCGAGAAUGUCACAAUAUAUCUUUAAAGUUUAAUUGGUGCAAAUCACAUUAAUUGUGAUGUCUAAAAUGAUUCUUAGAAUAGGUCACGAAUAUGCAAAAGAUGAGACUCGAAAAAAAAAAGAAUUAUAAUAUAUAAAUAUACAUUACUUAAAUGAGAUUCAUGCAACAUAACGGGUACUGGGACUAAGAUUCGUGACUUAAUUUUUCUUUUUAUAGAGGGGAUGAGAGCGUACUAAGGCUAAUGAAACCAUACUCAUUCUUUUCCCAUAUUUAAAGGGUGACUCUCUAACUUAGUCAAGUGAACGGAUUAGCCUACUUCUAAUUUCCUAAAUAAAAUGCAAGUUUAAAUGUUAUGUUUUGCGCACAUAGGGUUAAGAGAGGUAGUAGAUAGAGGAAACAUCAUAUAAAAUGAGAAAAUAUCCUAGAAAUGAGUAACAUGUAUCAACUGAGAUAAAUGUCGCGCAAAAAAUGUGAAUGUAGCGCGAAAUGGCCUAACGAAUUUAGCAUUAGACUAUCCCAUUUCUACAAGUUUUCACUUAAAAAUGAACUAGCGAGAAAUCGAGGAGAAGGCCACAACUAGCAUUGAACUAAUGAGGUGACGUCAUGCAUUUAUUAUAACUAAAUAAAUUAUAUAAGACAUAAUUAAAGCAAGUAAACACAUAAUGCACAUAGAAUACAUAACACAUAAGCAUAAUUUUUAAAUCAAAACCCUAGUAAAAAUGAAUAAACACGUAAGUACACAAGCAUGCAAGCACAAGCAAAAGCAAAUAAACGCAAAUAAAAGCCUACCUAUUAUAUUUGGAGCCCUCACUAUAAUCUAAGGGAAAAUUGUAAAAAAAUAGAGUAAUCUAACUAUUACAUUUAUCUAACUAAUUAUAUUUUUGGCAAAACUAAAACCUAUCUAUUACAUAAUCUAACUAAAUACAUGUCUUGAGCAUCUAUCUAUUACAAAUUGGCAUUUAAAUGUCUCUCAAAUAAUCAUCAAAAAUUAAAUAGAAUAAAUACAACUUAAAAUGAGUAAUUAAAAGAAAAAGCACUCAAAAUAUAUAAAUACACACAUAAAAAACACAUAAUAACACAUAAGAGGAUUUGAAAUAAUAAAAGAAAGUACCUCCCUUGAAGUUGUGGUUAAAUGGGGUACAAUUUGCUCUAUUUAUAUUCCAAAAUCAAUAAAAUGGUCAAGACACCAAUUAAAUUAACAAAUAAAUGAUAAAGAAAUGGAAAUAACCAUGAAAUCUACCAAUUAACGCAUUUAAAUGAAGUAUAAAUAACAAUUAAAGAAGAAAAACAACUUAUAUUUAAGAAAUCAAACUGUUAGGGACUUAAUUACAAAAAUUGAUAAAAUAUUUAGGGUAGUAAUAUAAUUAUUACAAAGAUUAGGGGUCAGAAACAAAGAAAAAUAAAGUUUAGGAACAAAAUCAUAAUUAAAUUAGGGAUCUAAUUGAAAAAAUCUAAAAUUUUUAUACUCGAAAGACCAAGGACUGGAAUGCAAUUUUCGUUUCUGGUCUUGCAAGAUACAAAGGCUAAUGGGCCAUCUUCAACAUUUCUUUGGGUCAAAAGCCAUUUAGCCCAACCAAAGGCCUCAAGAACAAGGAUGGGCUAGGCCUAUCAUCUUGCUAAGCGAAAUCCAUCCAACAAAGUUGGGCUAUUACCUUCCCAAGACCCAGUUUCAAUCCAAUCAAAAUAAACCAACAACCCUUUCCCUAAAUCCAAACAAAAAAUAACCCUUAACCCAAACUAACUUAUUUUAUUAAAACCCAAUAAAGUAAAAAUCUACCAAAAAUGCUAAGCCUUAAUUAUGUGGUAAAUCCCAGAAUUAAUCUACCAAAAACACACUUAAAAUAUGAAAGAGAAGAUUAAAACUUAAAAGGGGGGAAAUUGGUUCAAUCUGCAAAAGUUUUGGGCCAUAGUGUAACUGUUCAAAAGUUGAGGGGACAGAAUGCAAAUUUUCCAGAUGAUUCAUGCAAGCUAUUCGAAGCCAUGUGCAGCUUUCUAUAUUGCUGCUACAAGAAAAAACAGCAACAUUUCAGACCAAACACAAUCAUCAAAACCAACGCUUGAUCUUGCAUAAAAGGAAAAAUAAAACCUUUUUCAUAUAACACAAAGAUUAGGUCAAUAUUGCAGCAAUUAAACACACGAUUCAAAGCCCAUCACAAGAUUAUGCAACUCAAGUUUCAACUAAGAGAAACGGCAAGAUAACGAGAAGAAAAUGGAGAUCUUGAUUCAUAGUUGCAAGAUCAGCCUCAUGAUUCUUUCAUUUCCCAUCUCAAACACAUCAAAGACUACCAAAACUACUAAUCACCAUGUAUGUCUAGAUAUCGAAAUUAAAUUAAUUUCAGAACAAACCAAAUUAAGAAAUAUACAUUUUUUAGCACGUCAAGCGUGAUAGUUAGUGCAAUGUUUCUUUUUAUACCCUUCAACUCCACAGAAGAAAUAAUUAUUCUUUCUCUAAUCAACUGAUUUCUUUUUUGUUUCUUUUGUGAUGCCGUACCUGCAGUUUCUUUAUUCUUCUUUCUCUUAAGUCCCUUGCUUUUAAUAUUGGUGGUUGAGACCAUAUGAGUAUUCUCUGUCUGAUCUUACUUCAAUUUUUUCUCUUCCCCUACACAGUAUGAGAUGAAUUCAUUUAGAGAUCAAGUCUCUUUUUUGAUAGUUCUAACUCACUUUAAAUGGACUAAACUGUGUAGGAAGAGAUAUUAAAACAAAAUGCACUAGUAACUCUUCAGAUGAGACAUCUCUAUGAUGUAUUUUCUAAUAUUUCCUUUACCACUAUAUUUCAUUGAACUAUGCGCAUUAAGAGCGUACUAAUUUCAAUCUUUUCGUUCUUAACAAACCUUUUUUCAAUGUCGUGAAGAAACUCCUUAGUGGUAACUGUCGUUUCUGACAUUAUUCCUUUGAAUACUUUUGGAACGGCCUUUUAAUGAUCAUUAAACAUAAGUUAUUUGAUCUCCCCCACCUUUCCUUAUCCCUCUUUCCGUUAAAGGUAUUUGUAUCUGUAAGAGGUGGAGGAGAAUCAACCUUUAACGCAAGGUCGAAAUCCAUUACUCCAAAUACUAUCAAGAGAUUUUUUUUCCAAAACUUGAAAUUUGUGUUAUUCAGUAUAGGAAUAUUAUUAAUAUUGGUAGUAAUAUUUGUAAGAUCAUUCGCAACUGAACAGAAAAUAUAAAAUAAUUAAAACAAACUCACAUACGUCAAAAUAAUAAUAAAUUCAAAUAAAGGUAACCACAUCUCAAGAUACUGAUGUUUCAUUAAUAUUUUAUUUUUGGACAAAAAUAUUAACUUCUAAAUGAUAUUUUGGUGCAGUAAUAAACACUGACAAUAAUAACAUAUCGAAAAAUAAAUUUUUCUUUAGACCAAUUUAUAAUUCAUAUGUAAAAAUCUAAAUAAUCAUCAUGUGUUUAUUAUCACAAGGGCAUAUGCAAUUUUAUUAAAUAUUGAUCUUCCUUUGGACCGAUCAAUAUUUAUAAAAUUACAAGUACUCAAUUAGUUAUAUUCUAAAAUAAAUUAAUUUUCACAAAGAGGCCAUUUUGGUGAUAUAUUGUUUCAAUUAAUUUAUUCUAAAAUAUAUAUAAUCAUACCAAUAUUCAAAAUUAAAAUUACACAAAAAUUUUGAUCAAGAUCAACUUUGGUCAACUCUGGUCAAAACGUGAUCAAAUAUAAUCAAACCAGUCAAUCAGUCAAAUCUGGUCAAACCAAUCAAUUAUGGUCAAAUAUAGUCAAACUAGUCAAAUGGGUCAAAACUUAUUGGAUUAUAAGUCCAUAUCCAUAAUUUGACCCAAAUUUAUCAUUCAAAUCCAGAAUUUUUUUUUGAAGUCUAUAAAUACCUUAUAAGAUUAUAUACUUAGUGGGCCAACCUUAUGAAUUUUGUAAGAUUUAAAUGUUUUGUUUAACUUUAUUAAGACUCACUCAAAUUAGAAAAACUCUAAUUUUCUUAAUAUAUAAUAAGUUACAUAUCAUGCAGGUCUUACCAAAUAUUAUGUUAAUCAAAACUCUUAAAUGAAUAAACUAAUAAAACAAGUUAGGAAAAAGACAAACAACUUCUCGAAACUAGAAAUCAAGUUAAUUUAUAUCAUGAAAAGUAUAUGGGUCCCACAUAUCAUGACUUGUGUCAACAUAUCAAGAGAUUCACAAAAUUUAACAAUCAAGUAAGACAAACACACGUGAUCCCGAACUAUAUGUACUUGAACCAUGUGCUAACUAAUCAUAACAAACAAAGCAAAUAUGUGUCCUUGAUUGUGCAUCAUGCUUAUUGAUUUCGACAAACCCAUAGAUUCAUAUGUAACCAAAAGCAAAGAAUUGAACAAUACAAAUUUACGAAAAACAUAAGCAAACAAAUUACAUUAAAAUCCCAAUUCAAGAUUGUCAACCACCUCACAAUCAAAAUAAAAAUAAUUCUAGUUAAAAAAACAUGAAAACUAUGAAUUAUUUACAAUCAACUUAUUUCCUAAUAAUCAACCUUAUCCUACUCUGACACCACUUGUUGGAUGGGUAGCUUAUGGUAACUUUAAAUGAAAACUAUCAUCUAUUAAACUCAAAAUUUUUAUGGCGAUUAUUAAAAAAUAAAUUAACAAUAAAAUUGUGGAAGUGUACUUAGAUUCAUGUUGACAAACUGGUACUUGAAUCUCUAGAGAUUUUGGGGUGAUCUUUCAGGUAACACGUAUUUGCUAUUCCUUUGAGAGAACAUUUUAAUUUCUCUUUAAUAUCUUUUUUGACGAUGGGAUAUCAGGAAAGAGUUAUUUUAUGGUACUAGAAAUGCGACAAUAAGAAUCCGUAUGACUUGGGGAUCAUAACUCUAUUCAUAGAUAACAUUCCUGUUACCUUUUGGAUUCCUAUUUCAGUUCAUCAUAAAAGUAGAAAUUACUCUUAAAUUUCUACACAUUAAAGGCAUAUAUCCUAUUAGAUACAGUUAAAUCCAAAUCAUAAUUGAUUAUUUUAAUUGGAUUUAACCUUAUUUGACAGUCUAUAGCACAUAAUUAUUUACAUAUAAGUGCAGCGUUGGAUUAAGGAUCCAACACUUGUGCCUUUAAUAAUCUACCAAUUACUGCUGGUAGUCCUGGGUGAUUGUCAUGCGCAUCCGCUAUCUGUAUAUUCAAUAGUUGAGAUAUCUCUGCUUUGGUGCUUUGAGGAGUAUUAGGACUGAACGCAGUGGCUGUUUUAUCAAAAUUCAUGCACUGGCCAGAAGCUCUCUCAUAUAUUUGCAGAAUAUGUUGGAAAUUCCUUGCCUCUUCUAGAAUGGCCUUUCCGAACAGAAGUGUAUGGUCCCUAAAAAGCAAGUGAGAAAUGAAGGAAGCUUUACUAUUAAUGGUGAUUCCGUGCAAUUUAAAUUCUUGAAGACAGAGCUUCCCCGCAUAUUAAAAAUAAAUACAGAGACAAAGGGUCACCUUGUCUAAAACCUCUUUGCAAUAGGACCAAACUGAGUACUACUAAGUAAAAAGGAAAACGUGAUAGAAGAGAUACAUUUAAAAAUCAAAGAGAUAAAAUUAUGGGCAAAUUAUUUAUUACCCCUUGUAGUUUUAUAUAAUGCUAGAUGACCUUUUUAAGGUUUUAAAAUAGCCACAUUACCUCCCUAUGCCUUUUAUGUAAAGUGAAAAAUGAACGGAAUACACUAUCCAUUACGACGUUUAUGUCAAACACGUGUGAUAAAAUCUUAAUAUCAAUAUAACGCUUUUAUGAUUUGUAUAAAUAUCCAUAUUACCUUCCUGUGAUUUUUGCAUUUAUUCACGUAAUUUUCCUCUGCUUUUACAUAAGGUAAUUAAGCCAUCGAUUGAUUUAUCAUUUAAGUAAGGGUAUUAUUGGUAUUUUAACUAAUGAUGUCACAUGCAUAGUUAUUAAAACCAACCCGAACAUCAACCCGACAAGAGGACCGGGUUGACGGGUCAGUGGUUCAACCGGUGGAUCACUAGUUGAACCGUUGGAUCACAAUAUAUAAUAAAAAAAUAUAUAAUAUAAUUAAAUAAACAUGUAAAUUAUAAUAUAAGUACAGAGAUUCUUAAAUCUCAACAAGUUAUAACCUGUUCAUAGUUCAUAGUUCAUAAUUCAUUUCACACACAUAAUCCAUAACCAUAUGUGAUCAACAAUUCAUGAAUUCAAACUACCAAAGCGAACAAAAGGCUGUCGUAAUAUGAUCUCUAUUCUUUAGUUCAAUGAUAUGCAACUUCUUACUAUUAUUCUGCUUGUGCAUUUUGCUGUGUUUCUUUCACCUAAUGUUGACGUUUGUUUGGAAGUGGAAAAAUUCACAAGUUUUUUAAGUCUUGAUUGCCCUUAUAUCUUUUACAAGUAUGGUCAGCAACCAUACUACUUUUGAUUCUAAACAUGCAAGCUAUACUCCUCUUCUCUUGCUAAGCUUUACUUGCUGGCGUGGCCCUAUUCUUGUUUGGUUUUGUUGGGAAAUUGGAUGCAGAGGAAGAAGAAAUAAAUAAUCACCCAAAAAGAAAGAAGAAACAAAAUAUUGCCUGCGGUCAGAGAAUUAAGAGAGACUUAACUCCUUAAGAGAAUAGGGAGAGAGAGGAACAAACUCCACAAGAGGAUUGAGAGGAACAAAGCUUCCUGGAAACGGCAACUUCGGUAGCAGUGGCAGCUUUGGUGGCAGCGGCAGUGGCAGCUUCGAGUACCUGGAGCUUCGGUGGUAGCGGCAGCGGCAACUUCAAGUACCUGGAGCUUCGGUGGCCGCGGCAGCUUCAGUAGUAGCGGCGGCUUCCUUGAAGAAUUUCGAACUUCCAAGUUCCAAUUGCUUGCCUCAAACUCUCAGAGCAACUAGCAAAGCAAAGGAAAGAAAAAUUGAUCAAAGCUGCCAGUGCCGACAAAACAAUGGCCGAAUGCCUAAAUGCUCAAAAAGUUCUCAAUUUGUUCUCACUUCUCAGAGAAACAAAGAAGAAAACAAUCCCUAAAUGCCUAAAUCCCCAAUGACGGCCAAAUGCCCGAUUGCCUUUUCAUUCUUCAAUUUUUCUGAUUAUCUCUUCUAUUUGGCUAAAAAGACGAUAAUGCCCAUGUAGUAUGAACGGUCAAAAUAAAAAAAUUGGAUAAAACGAUAACUUCAAAAAAAUUGCCAAAACCCACCAGGUUUAUCAAUAACCGCCAGUUCUAGCGGUUCUCUGGUUAAACCGUCCGGGUCGAAUGGGUCCAGGCGGGUUCUUUACAACUCCGAUCUAACUAGGAAACCAGUCCGGUUUCAUGACCGGGCCACUGGUUUGACCGGUCCGACCGUCGGGCCGGACCGGGUUUAAUAACUAUGGUCACACGGGUUAUUUUCUAUUAAGUUUUCACUUUACAUAAAAGUAUAAGAGGGUGAAAUGGACAUUUUAAGAUGAUAGGGGGCCAUAUGGCAAUAGAUAAAAUCAUAGGGGGAUUAUAUGUAAUUUACAUUAAAUUAUUGGCAGAACCAAGAGCACUCAUGACCUUAGUGAGAAAAUUCCAUUCUACCCUAUCAAAGGUUUUAUAGUGCAGUUUUUAUUGCUUUUUUAGUUGUGAUCACUUAAGUAAUAAAGGAAUUUAAAUAGCAUCGAAAAUUGAUUCAUUUUCCUUAUGAGAUCAACACUCGAAUAUGCCCUAUACUUGUACUCAUAUAUGAUCUACAUACUUGCAGUAAUGGAAGUUUGAGUAUAAUUAAAACUUUAUAUUAAUUAUCAUCUCAUGUUUUGUCAACUUUAGUCCCCUUUAAUUAAAAUUGAUUCAUUUUCCCUAUGAGAACGACACUCGAAUAUGCCCUAUACUCAUAAUCAUAUAUGAUAUAUAUACUUGCAGUAAUGGAAGUUUGAGUAUAAUUAAAACUUUAUAUUAAUUAUCAUCUCAUGUUUUGUCAACUUUAGUCCCCUUUAAUUAUACACUAAACUAACUAAAGUUGCAUUUGGAUUGAACGACAAAUUUGAAAUCCUCUCAUAUCCUUCUAAGUUGUAUGGAUGACUUGAGAGGUAUUUGAAUUUAUCCAUCAGUUAUUUUAAAUAAAUAGUGGUGUUACAAAUUCAAAUAUGUUGAAGCAAACUAAAAGAAUUUGAGAGAAUUUAAAUUUUUUUUUUGUCAAAUCUCUCUAUCCAAUCGCAACCUAAGAGAAAACCUACUAAAAAAGAAUACCACAUUUUAUGACUUAUCCCAAAAACCUUCCCAUUUGUAGGCUUUUAAGUAUCUAUCUAUCAACGCAUAACCAAUAAAAUAAUCAACUGACUGAAAAGUAAGAAAAGGAGAAAAAACGCUUGAAGGUUAGCAAUUGUAACCACAAGUUUUCUGGAACUGCAGGCGAGUGCAAAUAUGGAGAGAAACGAACAAAUGUGUGGAUUGAUUAAUGGAAAGUGAUCGUGCAUAAAUUGACCAAAGGUUUACUUAAGACACACAUGAAAAAAUCAAGCAAUUACUUGGUAUCGAUAUUAUAGGUGAACACCCUUUUUUGUUGCUUGUUAAGAGACCUUACGUCUCUCCCUUGUAACCAAAAAAAAAACAAAGAAAAGAAAAAAAAGAACCAUUCCAGUUGAUAUUAAAGGAGUCUCCAAACACGGCUUUUCUAACCCAAGAAAGACCUACUAGACCUGGGUUAAGUUUAUCGGGUUCAACGGAGGCGGUUGCAAUUUGGCCAAUUCAUAAGGGUACAAAUUGGUUUGUUUCUUUAAUUUCAGCACUUGGGAUCCUCGGUGACAUGUUUUCUAUGCCAACCCAAUCCACCUAUAAUAUUGUGCCAAGUGUCCUGUUAUUAUUUACACUCGUGUUAAACCAAACUAAGUUGAAUUAUUAGAAAAUUAAAGUGUAAAUAAUAACAAGGCACUUGGCGCAAUACUAUAGGUGGCAUUGAAUUGGCAUAGAAAAACAUGUCACCGAGGAUUCCAAGUGUUAAUUUCAGUGGUCUAUAAACAGCUUCAUGGUCAAACACUUCUUCCCCACCAUGUCAAGUGUCAACUGCCUGACAAAGAGCUUCAUCAUGCUACAUUUUGUCUAAACCGCUUAGGCGGUUUUAUUUUCUUCAUUUGCGUCCUGCAUUGGGUCAUACAGAUUAAAGUUUAAACUUAUGGUACAAAAUUAUACAACAUGAUACAUCAAUUCAUAUUAAUCAAUCAGAGGAGGGCUCUUAAAAUUCUCUCCACUGCCAGAUUCAGGAUUCAAAUCUUGAGUUUGACAAUUGAGUGCGAAAAAGGUGUUGAGAGGGGAGGGGAGCGGAUUAAAAAAAAUGAUACAUUGAUUGAUGCGAAAUGUUGGCCUUAGUCAUUUUACCCGCAAAACUAAUGGUCAAACAUAACAAAAUUAAUUAAUUCAAGUGAAAAAAUAUGUUUAGCGCUUAAAAUUAUUAUCACUUUAUUCCCAUAGACUGUAGCCUCAUUAUCACUUUACUCCUUAGAGUUAUGUUUUUGGGAAUUUAUCUCACAAUUAAACCAAUUUAGCAAGUUAAAAAAAUUUUUAGAAAAAAGUACCCUCCUCAUUGUAUAAUAAAGCAAUAAAAAAUUUAGAAUGGCUUUACUCCUUAUUAGUAUCAAGAAAAAAAGUCAAAACAUUAAUCUCUUUCUUCUUGACAAUCUUAUUAAUAUUGAAAAAAAAAAAGAAAUAUAGGGAGAGAGAGAGAGAGAGAGAGAGAGAGUUCUUAAUUCUAAUUCCGAUGACGUUAAAAUAAUACAAUUAGGAUUCUUCCUUAUUUUUCUUAAUUUUUUCUUUGCAAAAUCUAAUUUUUUUUGUCUCCUUCGCUCUUAUCUCUUUUCCUUUUCAUAGUAUUAAUAAGUGUGAAAAAAGAAAUUUGUGAAAAUCUUUUUAUUUUUAUGUUUUUAGAACUCUUAGAGUAAUAAAGGAGAAAAAUAACCAUUCAAUUUUUUUUUAUUUUUAGUUAUAUAUAAAAACGGUAAAUAUAUUUAAAAAUUUUUGAACAUACUAGUUAGAUUAACGAUGGGAUAAAAUGCCUAAAAAAUAAUGUUAGAGAGUACAGUGAUUGUAUCACUACAAUUUAAAGGGAUAAAGUGAUAAUAAUUAUAUAAUAAGUGUAAAUUUUAUAUACACUAACAGUGUAUAUACUAUCACCUUUAGAUUCAUGAUACAUAUGCAAAAUUUGGAUUUCAAAUUCAAAUUUUACAUAUUUGUUAUUCAUCUAAGACUGGUAAUGUAUACACUGUCAGUGUAAAAAAGAUUAAUCUAUAUAGUAAUGCUAUAAAAUAGAAGGGUAUUUUUGUUCAAAAUUUGUUAACAUGUUGAAUUGAAUUAUUUUUUAGGAUGAAAUGACUAAAAGAUAAUGUUACAGGAUAAAUUGAUAGUAAUAAUAUAAUUUAAGGGGAUAAUGUGAUAAUAACUUAUUUAGUUGUGAAGUACAAAUUCGUUUAACGUGCCACAUCAUUCAAUUGCUGACUAUUCUUUACCUUAUUAGGACAAGGGACAGGAAUGGUUGCAGGUGUAACCGUUCCUGGCGGUUUUGGUCAUUUUCAACAGUGCAUAACUUUGGUUCCACACGGCGUAACUUUAUUUGUACAACGUAUAACUUUAGUACAAAAUUUUGCGGGCCACACACAUGUUGUGAAAAUCGAUGUACAACUAGUGAUAUGGACCGCACAUUUUUUUUGGCCAAAAUCUGGUCGUAAACAGUUCAGGAGCGGUCAUCAGAAUGACCGCUUCUGCCCCUCUUCCACCUUAUUAUUUGUGCGUAGACUAGUAGAGUAUACCUAGGAAUAUUCUUUAAUACCUGGUUUAGAUGCACGCACAUGUGUUUCACGCAUCUAAGAAUUUCCAUUCCUUUUUAUAGUAAACAAAAUGAAACAUCAAUCUAUCACCUCAAUUAUGCAUGUCAAGCCUAUUAAAUUUAGUUAAAUCCAAUGUUAGACCUAAAUUCUUAUGGGUUUGAAAAAGUAAAUUCAAACCCAAAUCCUCAUAGGUUUGGAUAUCUAAUAAUAUCCCUAGACAUUUUUCUAAACAUGCAGAAUUAAGUAAAAAUAUUUUUAAAAUACAUAAAAUUUAAAAUAACAUAAAUGCCAUUCAACUUUUUGUUUAUAGAAGGAAACCAAAAAAAAGGACACGUAAUAAAUAGUAGGGUUAUGUGGCUUUUUUUAGAUUAUGAACAUAUCCUUUAAUCUAAUAGUCAUUAAGUUUUACUAUAUUCGAUCCAAUGGUCAUAUAAUAUUAGAUUAUUUUAUAAAUUUAUUGGUACGUACAUGCAUACAUAUUAUUAUUUAUACAUGGAUUGGGAUAAGGUAUGAUUGAUUUGAGCAUGGAUUAUAAAAAAUCGAACUCUACCGAGACGCGUGACUCUCUUACAAAGUUUGGAUUUAUGUAGGAUAUGGAUCAUGUGCAUACAUAUAUGUAUGACUCUUUUAGGUUUUGAAUGUAUCCUUUAAUCUAACAAUUAUGAAAAUAGAUAGAUAGAAUACAACAAAUAUGCCUACUACUUGCACUUUAACAAGUUAGAUUACUAAAAAAUUUUAUAAAAUUUAAAUAUAAAAACUUAUUUUAAAAAAAAACUCAUUCAAGCGCCGGUCAAAAUGAAUAUUGAUGGUGCCUUCAACAAGACAAGGCAGAAGUAAUUCGCACAAGAAAAGCAUUAAGUGAGAAAUCAUGGCAGCCAUAGCGGAGAAAUUAUGUCGUAACCAUGAUCCAGGGACUUGUCCGAAGCUAUGAUUUUAGAUUUAGGGUACGUUUGAUAAAACUAAAAUAUGAAAACUAAAAUCUGAAAUUUAAAAUCUAAAUUUAUUGAAUUAUUGAAUUGUUAAGUAUUAAAUCUAAUAUAUUUGAAUGUAUAUCACAUUCAGUGUUAAAUGAAUAAUUUAUCACUUAAUUUUGAGAACAAAUUUUGCCUAGAAAAUUCAGUGGCACUUGAUUAAUUCAAGUGUUCAAUUUUUUAUUAUAAAACGAUCUAAAUAUAUUAAGAUCUGAAUCCAUUAAAUUUAAAUGUUGAGCUGAAUUAUCAAACAAGGCCUUAGUGUAUGACUUGUCUUAAAAAAAAAGUUCUCUUCCUUCUUUUUUCUUUUUUAACGUAAAAGGUAAAUUUUAUUAAUCAAUAAUAAAGCAACAAAUACUGCUCAAUCAUUGUAGAGUUAUGAUUUCAACAAGUAAACUAGCAAAGAAUCCCUCUCCAACUCGACCGCAUCAUCCCUGUACCAGUUUGAACUGCCAAAUAAAUUACAUGAUGUAAGAAAUAUAUUACAAUGAGUAGAAAAUACUUGUUUGGCCCUCAAAAUGUAGAAAUAGUAUAAAAUGCGGAGUUGGCUUAGGCUUAUAUAAUUAACGAAUGACAUAAGGUCCAGUGACUUAAGGAACCUAGAAUCUAAAUAUAAUCACCAGAGUGGAUGUACAUACAGUUAAAAAAGACUUACAUCGUGUGACUAACAUAUUACAGUCCGUAUAACUUAGUGUACAUGGAGUUAUAUUUGUACAUAAAUAAUGUCGUUGUCUUAAAGUCAAAGUAAAGAGAUGUGAAUCAUUAAUCAUAUUCAUAAGCGUAAUAAUAGGAUUUGGUGUACGAGUAAUGUGUGAUUUAUAACACAUUAUGAAUGGUAAUAUAUAUUUAUGCUGUUGUUUAUGUACAUACUAUUCAUGAAGUAUUGCAAAUUAGGGUAUUUGAUGCAUAAUUGGUAGGAGCAGAAGUAAUGGAUUGCAACAAAUUGGCAGAAGAUGGGACCCCUGAGUUAAGAAUAGAGUUCAACGGUGAAGAGGAUGCGUACAAGUUUUAUAACAAAUAUGCCUUUAAAAUGAAUUUUAGUGUACGCAAAGACUAUUUAAAUAAAGAUAAAGACGGCGUGACCACGUCUAGGAGAUAUAGUUGCUGCAAGAAAGGUGUGAAACGCAAGUACGAAGGUGAUGUGAUGCCAAAGAGGGCAUGAGUGCCGACGAAAACAGAGUGUGGAACUAAAAUGGUUAUCGUGUUGUUUAGAGAGACCAUGAAGUACCGUGUGCAUAACCUUGUCUUAGAGUAUAACCAUGAGUUUCACAUUAAAACUGGCGAGUCAACAACUAUGAUUAUAUUAAGACAACAAGAUGUGGAGUUUGUGGUCAUGAGGUAUAAUGGAGGAUCUGAAAGAAUAGUGGUAUUCAAUCGGAAUGAUCUAAAUGUACGCUGUAGUUGCAAAAAAUAUGAGAAUGAAGAAAUUUUGUGUAGGCACGCGUUGAAGGUGUUUGAUACCAUGGGCAUAAAGACAAUUCCUCCUAAAUAUGUUAAGAGGUGAUGGCCAUGGCUUUAGCUUUUAUUUAGAUGUUUCUAACGGCAUAAUUAGUUACAUGGAUGUUACAUUAUGUGAUAAUUUUGUUACGCCUGACAUACCUAUUUGGUCUGUCUUAUACAAUGUAGGAGCUAUUCAAAACUCAUAGACGCAUUCAAGGAGCCAGUCAAUGAAUGGUCCUCCAAACGCCGUUGCUCCCGAAAUCGAGAAAAGUGAAAUGGUAUGCAUACAUUUAGUUAAAAAAAUAAAGACGUUGUUGUUCGUAUCAUAAAACUACUUUUUGAUUAUUGUAAUGGUGGACACCUGAACGCUUCAACGCAGGUAUAUUAUGUAGUUAACGUAUGCUCGCUUCUAUGACAUAUUAUUUUGUAUUAUCUGAAGGUCCACCAUUUGGUUAAUCAGGAGCCUCCUGCAACAGUCCCUACAGAAUGGAUGCACCCAAAUUUUCUAUUUUUUUCAAACAAAACUCCGUCAGAGAUAUCUUAAUGGUUUGAUAUAUAAUUUUUUUUAUAAUGUCUAGCCCAAUUUAGCUUUUGAAGUGAGCAAUAUAUGCACUGAUAAUGAUUUAUUGACAGUUGAAUAGUUAUAUUAUAUAAUGUAGGAGGAGUGUGCGACAAUUUCAACACACUAUGAUGUUGAUGCAUAAAAUGUAUUUUCACCAUCACCGCAAUGACAAACUUUUAUCGUUACAUCAUAUAUUUAUGUAGUAUUGUUAAUUGGAUAUCUUGGACAUUGUAUAUUAUUAACCGUAUGUUCCAUUACGUGUAUUUAGUUUCGAUUAUCCAUUCACCAAGUUGACCUCAUUUAUUGAUGUUAGUACUUCUCUGUUGAAGAUAUUGUUCAGUUUCAAUCGCUUCCCUAUUAUCAGUUUCUUUUAAUUUACAAUGUUGAAAUGAAUUAGUGCAUGUUGACUGUAACUGACUAGAUUUUUUUUUAUUUUCAUACAUUAGUUAUCUUGAACGAGAUUUGCGGUGUUUUUCGAAGAACAUUUGUUAUUGGACCUCCAUGUCGGCCUGGUUGAAAAUGCUGCAUAUCUACAUUACAAGCAGUUAAUAAGCUAGUACAAGUUAUUCAUAUGCCUGGACAGACAUCUUCAAUGUUUUACUCUGUUGAAACUUAGACAAGUGGGUUACAAUUGUAAUCAUGUCCAGUGUUAGUAGUCAUCAAUUAUUUUGUAAUGGGUUGUAUAAAGUUGUUAAGAAAUUAUAAAGUUGACUGAAAAUUAACAUUUUUACAAUACCAUUAAACGUGCUUCUUUAUGAUUAUGAUAUUUUUCAUAGAAAACCACAACAAAUGACUGUCGUGAUAUAUGCAUUCGUGAUAUGUCGUGAUAUAUGCGCUCGUGAUAUACCACAAAAUGGUCCUGCUUGCUUCAACAAAAAAAGGUAUGCGUUCGUAAUAAAAGUAAUAUUUAGAAGCAAAUAUUAUGUAAAGAAAGUUGUUGUAUUAAGAGAGUAGAUGUCCUAAAAUCUAAACUUAAAUUUUGGACGGAAUUACCACGUAAUUGUAACAUUCACAAACAUUCAACUUAAUUGGCUUUAACGUUUAGGGUAAAGUGGUCAUGGUAAAAGGUCAAUUUAGAAACAAAUAACAACUAUAAUUACUUAGUUUGCAUUAAAAAGUAGUCAUGGACUUUUUUAUACCAAAUCAUGGCCAUUCAUUCAUGACCACUCUAUCUUCUUGAGUGGUAAUAUACGGUGUUAGAAGAUGUAAAUUAGCAACUAAUAUUGGCUGUGAAAAUGAGUACGUAUGAAAUCCCAGUCGAUUUUGUUGUUAAAAAUACAGAAAUGCCAGUAUAACUAAGGCCGCAUAUGUUUUGAUCUCUACUAUGAUAAUAAUGCAAACAAAUUUUAUACAGCUAUGUUUGUUAGUCGACAUGUUCGGGUCGAUGUUGUAUAACAAUGCAUGUGUACUAACUUUAUAUGUGCUCUAUGUAACAAAUUUUGAACUACGAAAGCUAUUCUUGGGUCCAAAAGUGACAUGUAUGGAUCCAUACUGGAUCCAAAUUUAUAUGUGGUCUGCUGUACGGACCUCAUACUUUAUAUGUGUUCUGUUGUAUGGAUCACACUGUAACUGCUAAAAUAACUAUUUUGUAACAGUUUUCAAACACACUGUGACUUUUCAAUAACUAUUUUGUAAUAACCUACAAACGCACUGUAACAUGCUAUCAUCAAAUAUGCAGUUUUGUAUUAAUUUUCAAUCUCUAACUUCCCAAUUAAGUAUUUUGUAGCAGUCUUCAAUAACAUUCAACUUUCCAAUAACUAUUUUAUAACAAUUUACAAACACUUCGUAACUAACAGUCUUCAAAUAUGGAGUUUUGUAUUAAUUUUCAAACUGUAACAUCCCAGAUAACUAUUUUGUAAUAGUUUUCGAACACACUGUAACUUUCUAAUAACUAUUUUGUAACAACCUAUAAACACACUGUCAACAAAUAGUCAAAUACGGAGUUUUGUAUUAAUUUUCAAUCUGUAACUUUCCAAAUAAUUUUUUUGGUAACAGUUUUCAAACACACUGUAACUUUUCAAUAACUAUUUUAUAACAGUUUUUAAACACAAUGUAACUAACAAUUUUUCAAACACACUGUAACUUUCCAAUUGACUUAACAUGACAUUAGGCUUAUCUGGAUGUAACUUGAAUAAAGUCACACUUAAUUAUUAUGCUCAAUUAAGUUUGUCAGGUCCGCUUCGUAUGCAGCUGACAUUGGUGUGUUAUGACAGUAUGCCUACUAACAGCAAUGUUAUACAGCUUAUUUAGCUCAGCCUGUAGUUACAUGACGACAUUACCAAUAAUUGCCCAGUGGCCUGUUUUCUUAAGAAGAUCUUAUUACGAUUUGCACUUUGGCCCCUGAUCGUUGGAGUAGUUUCACUGUGGCCCAGAACAUUUUAAAUUUCGAUCACUUAGGUUCUUAAUUAAUUACAUUUUUGUCCCUUAAUUUUAUCUUUCAUUUAAUUUUGACCCCUAAACUUUGAAAAAAUAUAAUUUUAUCCCCAAAAGUUUCUUCAAUUUUUGCAAUUCAGUCCCUGGUGAAUUUUGACUCUCUUUUAUUAUGAUUGUUUCUUUUCUUUAAUAGUUAAUUAUAUUACUUUUGAGUAUAUUUAACUUGUAAUUUUUAGACGUUCUUAAAUUUCUGUACCUUUGACAUGUUAAGGUGAAUUUAGUACUUUUAUUGUUAUUAUUAUUAUUGUUUUUUUUUCAAUUAAAUUGGUGCCAUGAUCCUUUUGUUCAUUUUGAGUAUAAAUAGGGUAAUUCGACUCCAUUUAGUCACCACUUCAAAAGGGAGGUACCUCUAUUAUUAUUUCAAUAUCAAUUAUGUGCUCUUAUGCGUUCCUAUGUGUUUACUUUUUUUUAUGUGCUUUAUUUAUUUGAUUUAAAUGUUCAUUCAAAUUUCCUUAUAUUUGUUUUAGUUAAUUUUUUUUAUAAUUAUUUGAGAAGCAUUUAAAUACCUCAAAAAUGUAAUAGAUAGGAUUAUUAUAUUUGUUUUAUUAUAUUUUCCCCUUUUUAGAUUGUAAUUAGGUUCGCUGUUGUAAUAGAUAGGGUAGAUAAGAUUUUAUUUAUUUUCCCAUUUUAGGUUGUAGUUAGUCUCCCCGAUGUAGUAAAUAGGUUAUGUGUUUAUGUGGUUUAUGUGUUAUAUGCUUUAUCCGUUUUUUUUAGGAUUUUUGCAUUUAGAUAUUAUGUUUGCGUGUUACGUGCUAUAUGUUUUUAUGUGUUUAUUUGUUUUAAUUUAUGCCUCAUCUGUUUUACUAUGUAUUAUUAAUGCAUGGCGUCACCACACUAGUUCAACGUUAGUUGUGGCUUUUCCCUCCGCUUACUUGCUAGUCCAACGCUAGUAAGGUUUUUUUUAGAAAUGUGCUAGUCCAAUGCUAGACCCUUAUAUCAUUCGUGCGUUAGAUUCAUUCUUGUGUGAUAUUCAUUACAUUUUCAUGCAUAUUUUAUAUUUUUAGGAUCUUUUCUCGUUUGCAUGAUAUUGUCUAUAUAUUAUCCUCAAUCCUUUACCCUCUAUAUGUGUUAAUUAUAUCAUUUAAAAUUGCAUUUCAUUUAAACUAGAUCAUUUGCUUGUCUAUGUUAGGAAAAUUAUUCUUUGAACAUGGGAAAUGGGUGAUUAUAACUUUUUAGUUUAAAUACCCCAUUAAUCCCUAUAUAAGAAAAUUAUGUCACGAGUUUUUGCCUCCCGCACCCCUUACAUUGCAUUCCCUUUUUCUUUGAUCACUUAUAUCUAUGUAUAUAAUUUAAUUUCUUUUUUUUUCUUUUAAUUUCAUCAUUCGUAUACAUGUGACACUUUCAACGAAUCAUUUUGGCCUUCGCAAUUAAUGCGAUUGGUUCAAUUAAACCCUUGAAUGAACAUUUUGCCAUUUUCAAUUUUUUUUAGAUUUGCAUCCAUGUAGGAAACAUCCAAACAUGAUAAAAUUAAUGGUUAGAUUAGGAAAAUUUUGACUAAACUUCGCAACUAGCUUAGACUAGGUUGAAAGGGUGCCUUAGGUUUGAGUUGAUCGAACUUUUGCCUUCCCUUUCUUCAAUCGUGACUCCCGAAUCCAUUUUCUCUUGUUUUUUAAAGAUCUAGAGUUGUCAAAAAGGGUUUCAUCUUAUUUAUUUUUAUUUUUGUCAAAAAAUAUUUUCUUUGUGGUGACUUGGUACACCCAAACUCAAUACCAAGUGGCGACUCCUAUUUUUUCUUAAAAACUCUUUUAGACUAAAUUUUGGACCCAAAUUGUUGCAUUUUUUUAAAGUCCCAUUUUAGGUCAUUUUAACUUAUUUUUAAAUGAAAAUCAUAUCUUUUAUAAAUACCUUUUAUUCUUAUUUUUCCAUUGCGAAAAACGGGGCGCGACAUUAAGUAGAGGAACUAAGGGAGGUCAGUGUAAUUUUCAAAAAUUGGGGGGAGCUGAGUGAAAUUGUCAGAAAUCUCAAGGGAGAUUUCUGAAAUUAUCCCAAAGAAAAUGAACAUGGCAACAAUCUUAGUUAAAUUAGUUUUAAAAAAUAAAAAAGGCAAGGGAUGACAGUAGUUGUCGCAAGAAGAAGAAGAAGAGAUGGAGUUGAUUUUUUAAAGGAGAAAAAUAUUUUAAUCCUUUUGGCCAAAUUGAAUCAAAAAAGGGAAGGAAAAUUUAGCUAAAAUGAGCAAAAUUUCAGUUGUAAAAAAUGUAGGCAAUACAUGUAUCAAAAAGAUAUGCUACUAUAGUAACUUGGCUUUCUUUUUUAUACAAGAAUACAAGGUAGACUAGUAAGGCUUGGCUAUGCUACGCACAGCCAGGUCCCACCUUGAAGUGUUUAAGGGUAGCAAAAUUUGAAGGAAUGUUUCUGAAUUGAGUGUCAUGUGUAAAUGUAUAUGUGAAGUAUGUAUAUUACUAAAAUGGAGAGAAAUUGGAUUAUUAGCAUUUAAAAUGAACUUACUUUACCACUUAAUAUAUUAUAUGAUUUUCUUGUGAAUUUUUUUAAUUCAUUAAUAUUAAUAUUUAGCAGCAUUUUAAAAUAUUUUAAAAUAUUUAGCAUAAUUUAAACUUGUAUAAACCAACUGAAAUUACCGCCAAAUAUAAUAUGAACUUUUCCUAUCAAUUUUAUUUUAAUUCAUCUAUGAAGGCAAUGAAACAGGAACAACAGUGCAUGAUCUAUACACUGAACUUUUGAAAUUUUGGUCUUGGACUUGCACAUUACAGUUUGCUAGUAUUGAUUGACAUAAAAAUCUGUUAUUACAUCCUUUAUCAGCUGAGUGAAGAAUUUUAUUAACUUGUCUAAUUGAUUUUUUUCUUUGUUUUGACUAUCAAAAUUUAGCUGAUAAUGAAACAGACAUUCAAUUAGCUUAGCUAUCCAUCAAAGAAAUUAGCAAGCAUCUUCAACAUGAAAAUUUAAAAAUGAUCACAAAAAUAGAAAAACAAAUCUAAAUAGACUAAUCAAUUUCAAAGUUCAUUGCCAGAGUUUACAAUGAUAAGUCACACAGUAUAUACGAUUCAAUAGUAAGUAGCUACCAGUAGUUUACUUACGAAACUUGUAAAUAUCAAGUAAACUUAACCAGCAUUUUAUCAAACAUUAUGUAGGCUAGUUAUGAGUAAUGUGACUAACCUAAAGUAAAGUGCUGGACAAAGUAAAAUCUUGAAUGCUGAAGGCAAUGCUGCAAAAUCAAAACACAAAACAUGUAAAAGCAUCUAUAUCUUACUACAAUAAGAUAUAAAUGCAUAGAGAUGGUGAAGAAAAAGCUAAGAAAAAUUGUAUUACCAAAUGAUGAGAAAGCAAGAAAGUGAAGGAAGCUUUCUUUCUACUAUGUGGGGACGAGAAAUAAAACAGAAUAACAGUUGGUAGUGUAUGUAGCAGUGUGUACUAUACUAUUCAAGGUUUGUUUGUUGAUAAUAAUUUCAUCUAAAAAAGUAGUCUAUGAAAGCUAAACUAAUGUAGUACUUUGUAUUUCAAUCUAAUGGUUAUGAAAAGAUAAAGUACAACUGACAAUUCAUAAAAGGUUGACAUUCUUGUGAAGGACAACCUAACUCUAAGGAAAAAAGUAAUUGUCUAAUCUAAUUAGAUAAUUGUCAAAAAGUGGGGUAGGUGAAGAAUGCUUGCAUUAUUUGACUUAUUACAAGCAAAGGAGAGGAAAAACAGGAGAACCAAACAAUCUGUAAGCUUCCUUGUUGAAUAAUCUAAUAAUUCAACGGCUAAGAAAAACGUUUUUCUCUCCAAAUUAGAUAGAACUUAUAAUCAAUAGCUUUAUUGAAUAAUCUAAUAAUCUGAUGGCAAAAAAAUAAUGACAAAAAUAAAUGCAAAUCUAACGGCUACCAUUAAAACAAAAAAAAUAGAAGAGCAUUUUAAUGAAAUAUAAUAAAUAUAUAUAUUUCUCAUGUAGACGUUAAUGCAUUCCUUUGAUUAAUAAAGGAAAAAAUUUAUAGUAAUAAAAAGCAAAUAUUAACAUAUAAAUGAAAUAAAAUAAAUUUGAUAACAAAAAUAUAUAAUAUCUUAAGUGGCAAUGUCAGUUCAUUUGUAUAACCUUAAAUGCUAAUAGAAAUAUGAAUAAACAUAAGUCAAAAGUUACCAAAUAUUUCAAUAUGAAAAAAUUAAAAUAAAAUUGAAACAGAAAAAUGCACGUUGCAUUAAGUAGCGAUAAUAAUCUUUUUCUUUAUAAUAAGAUGGAAUUAGUUUUAAAUAAUCUUUUGCAUUAAAUUAACAAAAUAGCAAAAAAUAAAAAAAAUAUAACAUUUUGAAAAGAUCAAUGUAAUUGUAUAAUUUUUAGCAAGUGAAACUUAUUUUGUCAAAUAUAAUUUUAAAUGACAAUUCACAUUGAAAUAAAUAUAAAUUCAAAUAAUAAUGAUAAUGAUAAUAAUAUUGUAGUUCGAUUACAUUUGACCAAGACAUAAGUUAUUUUGUCAAAUAUAAUUUCAAAUGAUAAUGUAAAUAGUAAUAAAUGUAAAUUCUAAUUGAAUUAUAUCUAUCCAAAGUGUAAAGAUUGAAAUAAUUCAACCUUAUAAAGGAAUGCCAAAUCCAGUCCAAUUUAGGUCAUUGAGCAAUGAAAAUUGCUACAAUAACUUUAGACAUUCAGCAAAUCCAAAGAGAAAGAAAAAAUAAAUAAAAGCUCAAAAUUUACCUAUAGUGCCACGUGUCAUUAAGGAAAGUUGUUACAGUAAAUUUUAGAUGACUUUUAUGUCUCAUGUUUAGGACUUGAUUUGUACAAUAAUGUGUACAAUUUUUGUGGAAAUUGUUUCCUGUGCAAUAGUGAAGUUACAUGUGAUUUUGACUAAUUGGACAGGAAAAGCACUUUAUGAUUGUGGGAAAAACUUACAUGUGAUCUUAAAAAUUUUUAUUUUACAACAUAGUGUAUGAUAUGGUCAACAUUUGUGCAACUAUAUAAAUAUUUGGGAUUGAGUUGGAUUUGAAUUGACUUUAAUGUGUCAUAUUACGGCUUAUAUAGUUGAACUAAAAUGAGUUUUUGAAUAAGGCAUUCAAAUAUUGUUUGUUCAUGGUUCAGUGUUGAAACCUUUUAUUUUAUGGAUUAAUCUUUCCUACACACAUUGUCAACAUUGAAUAAAUGACAACUAUGCAAAAUUUGAAUUUGAAAUUCAACUUUUGCAUACAUGUCAUGAAUCAAACGGUGAUAGUGUAUACACUGUCAAUGUAUGUAAAAUUUACUCUUAUUUUAUAUAUACAAUAUCCAUUUUUUUAAGUAAUGACUUGAAAGUUGGGAAAAGUGUCCAAUUCAACGUGUUACAGUAAAUAAUAUAGAGUAAAUCUUUCCUACACUGACGGUGUAUACACUAUCAUCGUUGGAUUUAUGACAUGUGCGCAAAAGUUGAAUUUCAAAUUCAAAUUUUACAUAGUUGUCAUUCAUCCAAUGCUAAUAAUGUAUACACUAUCAGUGUAGGAAAGAUUAAUCCAAUAAUAUAAGAGGGAAAAAAUUCAAAGAACCUUCAAUCUAGAAGCGGCUUUUAUAUUCUUCAAAACACAUUUCUGCAGUUGUUUCCUUAAAAAUCAGGUUGUCGAUUUGUAUUCCAAUGUAUUCCAGUAUAUAUGGAGUAACAUGACUGAGACAUUCUUGUCAAUUUUUUUUUUUAAAUGUUACAUAUUUUUCAUUUAAAAUUUAGAUCGUAAAAAUAUACUAUCUAAUUCUCUCAAACUUAAAAUUGUUUUCUUCCCUUAUCUUAUAAUUAAGGCAUUACUGUCACACCCAAUUUUCUAAAGUCCGGAUAGAUAUCUAGAAUUUUAUAUGUUUAAAAAUAAUAUUGUAAUUUUUGUAGAUUUACAACUCUUAAAAUCACAACGUGUGUAAUAUUACCAGAUUCUUUUGUCAAAAGCCGGCUAUGCUGACAUAUAUCCUACUUUAAGGAAGAGUCUUAAGUACAUUACUUGUCUUUAUUUUAUUACUAAUUUUCUUUUAGUUUAAUUUACAGGAAAAGGAGUUUUCAAUAGUUAUAAAUUUACUGGGAGGCUGCAAUGGAGCUUCGAGAAACGCACAACUCUAAAGCAUCUUGUCUUUGUUAUGGAAUGUAUUUUUUUAACUCCUAUCAACAACUACUCUUAGAGUAUAUUGCACACAGAUAUUAUUGCAACGAAGGCUAAAGCUAUAAUUUGUGGUGAUGACAAAAUAUGUAACAUGUACCGUGUUUAGGGCCAUAUUUGCAUACAUUAAUACAUUCUAUGAACAUACACUCAAUGAACUUAACAUCAUGUAACUUAUACUCUAUGAACUUGAUAUGAUUGCCACACUUGAUUAUAUUGUCUAGGGCCAAAUUUACACAAUUUUUUGUACUUGCAUCUUAUAAAUUCUUAUCUUUUAUGAUUUAAGCAUGAGAAAAUAUCUUUUUUUUUGGGGAAAACUAAAAGCAAAAGUUAUUGAUGUUCUUACAUAAAUCAUUCGCUAGAAACUUGCUCGACAAGAACUUGCAAAAUUUAUCAGGUUUCAGAAAUAUAUGCUUAUCUGAGAGAAUUCUUUUUUGUCUGUCGAAAACUCACUUGAAAUUAGUAAUGAAUUGUCACAAAUUUUAGACUAGGUAAGCAUGAUUAACCAUGUUAAUGAUUAAAGAUAUUAUCAAAAAGUUGCACCUUUUUUUUUUUGUUUUAUAGCGAAAACAAAGAGUAGGUUAGCACCUAAAGAAACAAGAAAGGUAAAAGUUAGAAGUUCCGAAAAUAUUUUGGAUGCAACAUAUUGGAUGACAUGUUAUAGUUAGAUGAGAUAAAGUUCACAUCUCAAUAAAACUAUAUGCCAGAAUCAGAAUAUUCACAAAGUUACAAAAGCUUCAAAGCGGAAAAUUUAACAUUACAUGGUUUUAAGAAGAAAUGAAAAGAGACAAAACAUGCACCUUUGUUUUAAGGAAAAGUUUUUAACAAGGGAAGGGUAUGAUUUAGGGAUAAUAUCAAAAACCUCCCCUGAGAUUUCUCUUAAUAUCACCUAACACUCUUAAGGUUUUCAAAAUAUCACUUACCUCCCUUACUUUUGUUAUUUGUGUAACAAAAAUUUAAAAAUUUCUAAACUACCCUUUUGUUCAUUUUGCUAAAUAAAAUACUUCUAAGACACUUUAUUCACUCAAAAAAAAUCACCAUCUAAAAACCAAUCUCUAGUAGUAUCACCAUGUCACAAAACUAUAGUUCAUAAAAAUAUAAAUUUGGAAAACAAAAAAGGUAUUUGUAAAGAAAUAUACUGGGACUAAUUUAACUCUAUAUACUUAAAAUGACUUCUUAUGAACCUUAUAUUUUUUCCCAAUUUCUUCUCAAACCCUAGCCCAAGUUUUUAAGUUGCACCAAUCAUUAUAAAAUCAACUCAAAAUAAACAAAGUAAUCACAUCCCACUCUAUUACAAUCUCAUAAAGUAAAAGAUAAAUAAAAUUCAAUUAUCUAUAAUUUAAAAAUAAAAAAUUGCAUAGUCGUCCAAGAAAAGAGUAAGAGAGAAUAUUGGAAAAGGGGGAAAGAAAAGAAAUUGUCUUUUGUUUCUUUUUAUUUUUAUAAUUUUUUUGACUUCCAUGUAUUUGAUAUGUGAAUUAUGUAUCAAGUGAGGUAAAUUUUUUCAAAAACAAGUUUUUCAAUUGCAAUGCUACAGUAAUACACAAAUCAAUUCAAAAGAUAUUUCAUCCAUACAAUAUAUCAAACAUUUCAAAAAAUAUUUAUAGUAAAAGUUUUUCAUAUACACUGCUAUAGUAAAAUUUUUCAAAAGCACCCCCAAAAACAGCUAAUCCAAAUGGAUAGUCUUUUUGUAAUUACUAAGGGAGGUAAGUAAUUUUUUAAAACCUUAGGAGUGCUAGGUGAUGUUAAGAAAAACCUUAGAGGAGGUUUCUGAUAUUAUUGCUAUGAUUUAAGGGGUUGGGAGAGAAAAAAGGAUUUGAGUCUAGACUUUAAAUUAAAAAAUCAAUUUCAAGGAAAGAAUGAAAUUGGUGAACUGAUUAAGGAAAAUGAAUUUUUUUCUUGAAUCUAUAUUCUUGUAACCAAAGAAACACAGAAUGAAGUAAAUAGUCACUUAAAUAUGAAAUAUAUUCAUAUCAAUUUUCUCAACGGUGAAAUAUUAUUAAGAAAUAUAGAAUAAGAAAAAUACGAAAUAAGAAAAAAUGGCGCUUAGAUUGGUUCAAAGUUCAAACUCAUAAAUUUAAACCUUUGUAAUUGCAUCUGCACUUCUUAAGAUACACGAAUUUCAAAGUCAAUAUUAUAAUGGGCACAUACACCCCCUAUGAUUAAGCAGUUUAAAAAAUGCACCCCUUAUAAUUUAAAAGUAUCCACUUCCACUCCUUAUACUUUAGUGAAAAAUAAGAUAAAAUGGACACUACUAGUGAAAAUUUAACCAUAUACUAUCCAAAAACGCAACUAACCAUUUGUUUAUAGUAAUUUUAGACUUUAUUAACGUUUUCCCCACAUAAAUGUUUGCACUCUAUAAAAGAAGAUCAAACGUUUGGACUCCAAUCGUGAUAAUUUGAAUCUUUGUAUAGGUUGUAAAUGUUGAUUAGAGAUAUUUAUGGAAGAAAAAUAUUAUUAAAACCUCAUAUAAUUAGAAUAAGUAACUAGUUGCACUUAUUUCGUUAGGGAUAACAUCAUAAACCUGUCCUAAGGUUUCUCUCAAUAUCAUCUAGCAUUUCUAAGAUUUUAAAAAUAUCACUUACCUCUCUUACUUUUGUUAUUUGUGUUAAAAAGUUUUUGAAAACCCUAAACUACCCUUUGCUUGCUAUAUAAAAAUACUCUUAAACCACUUUGCUUAUUUCAAGAAAACCAUCACCUAAAAUACAAGCUCUAGUAGUACUACCGCAUCACAAUGCUAUAGUCCACAAAAAUAUAAUUUUGAAAAACAAAAAAGAUAUUUGUAAAGAAAUACAUUAGCAAAAUUUAACUUUGUGCUCAAAACUAAUUUCUUAUGAGCCUUAUAUUUUUUUUCUAACUUCUUCUCAAUCGAUCCCCAAGCUUUUAAAUUGUACUGAUCAUUAAAAAAAUCAACUCAAAAUAAACAAAGAAAUCAUAUCCCAUUCUAUCACAAUCACAAAAAGUAAAAAAUAAAUAAAAUUCAAUUUACUACAAAUUAUAAAUUAAAAAUCAUAUAAUCAUCCAAAAAAAUAAAUAAGAGAAAAUGUUGGAGAAAGAUGAAUUAGAAGAAAGUGACUUUUGGUUUCUUUUUUUUUUGGAAUUUUUUGAGCUCUAUUUAUUUGAUUGGUAAAUUACGUAUUUAGUGAAGGUUAAUAUAAUCUUUUUACAAUUACUAGAGGAGGAAAGUGACAUUUUCAAAACCUGUGAGGUACCAAGUGAUAUUAUGAUAAGCUUCAAGGGAGAUUUCUGAUAUCAUCCCAUUUCAUUAUUGCAAGUUCAAAAAGUACAAUUUGUUAUUGUAGCUAAGCAUAGUUAAUGACCAAUCUUAAAUAGACAAAUCUUAAACGGACACAUUUUUGAAUUUUUAGUUUGUCCUGCUUUUAUGUCGAUUCUUCUUUACAGUCUUUAUUCCCUUCCCUGAUAAUUAUCAGGAUUCAAGUAUUUGAAACUUUCUGGAAGUUGCAGCUAUAUAAAGUAUGUCGAUUCUUAUAUCUAUCCCUGAUGCAUUAUUAAGAUUCUAAGUAUUUGAAACUUUCUGGAAGUUGCAGAAAUAUGACAUUGAGCUUCGGGUACUGUAAAAGCGUGAAUUAACAAGGUAUUCAUCUUCAAAGAAUCCGUCAUAACAAGUAGCCUAAUUGAUUUUUUUUACCAUCAUGAAAAUCCAGGUUAACUUCGCUGACAAUUCAUUUUGCAAAUUUGUUUCUUGUAAAAGCAGAUACAAAGAACAUUUAGGAGGAAAGACAAGCUGGAAGACGAACCAACUCAACUCAAAACAAGUUGAACUCAGCAGCAGCUCUUCAACCAAUAAGUCCAGGAACUACAAGCCCCAUCUAGGUUCACCAUUCAACCAUGGAUGGGAUAGAAUAUGUAUUUGGUAUUUUCCACGUACAAACAGUAUGUCAAACCAAAACAAUCACUGAGACUACAAUUCCAUAGUUAUAUAUUUCACCAAACGUUCGAAGACUUUCGACAUACUUUGGUUUCACUUUACCAAUACAAACAGGUCAUGCGGUAAAGGAAACAUGCAAUUCAGAGGGGAAAAACAGACCAAAAGGAUUUCAGAACUCAUUGAAACCCAAAAAUCAGAUUAGACAAAUCAGAGGCCUGGUUAUCAAAUUAUAGCACAAAAAAGUAGUACAAUGGUAUACAAUCAGAAGCAGAAUUAUGGAAGUAAGGCUGGCAUCUAACAAACAGUGACAGGCAGGACAAAAAGACGAGUACAACAAAUUCCAAUGCAAGCUGCACCUGCUCUGAAUGUUUAAAAUCAAUGUAACAUUCAUAAUCAAGGACCAGAAAACAGAGUUGAUGGCUGAGUAUUCCAGAACAAGAAGCUAUUGACUCCUAGUCAAGAUGAUCACCUUUAGGCAAAAAUAUUUCUUAGAACACUGAGGAAUUAAGUCACUGCAGUCUAAGCUCUUGCACGUCUUAAAUUACCAAAUAGCCUACUUGAAAUAAAACAAAACUGAAUAAACACACGAGAUUUACUAAACUUCAAAGUGAAACCAAUUA
RNAcentral lists this long non-coding RNA (51378 nucleotides) under Coffea arabica (coffee). Its description in RNAcentral is "long non-coding RNA (CARA_LNC005008)". The record is from RNAcentral. Lineage: Eukaryota; Viridiplantae; Streptophyta; Magnoliopsida; Gentianales; Rubiaceae.